GGAGCCAGAGCACCCCGCCUGCACUGCGAUCUGCAGCGGCGUGCACACGCCCCAUUACCGACCGCCAGCGUGCCCGACCGCGGCCAAGCCUGCGCGGGUCGCGACCCGCGCGCCGCGCUUCCUCCGACCGUCGUGCCCCUCGCGCGCCAUUGAGUAUUGAGUAUUGAACGCCGAGCCCUGGGCACCCCCUUGUCGCAGCACAACGCCAUUGCCAGCUCCAUACAGACGUCGGCGUUCUUACGGGGCGCAGCGCCCCCGCCGAGGAUUCCCCUGGGCCUGCCCUCUCUCUUGCGCGCGCUGCGCCAAUAUACAGUACAUGCCCCAUUCUCUUGCUUCCCUUCCUGGCUUCGCUCCAUGCGUGCGCGCGAUCGAGGGCCCGUGGUCCAAGCUUCACCGACCGGUGGCGUCGCGCAGAACUCAGUAGCAAUGUACAUGGCGCGGCCGGGGUUUCUCCGCGUCUGUAGGCGCGAGCUCCUUCGUGCAAGCCGUCCGCCGCCUGCGGCGCAGAGCCGCGUUCUACUAUGCAGAUGGGCAUGCACUAAGUAUAAGUAUGAGCAUUCACCGGAACGCGCGGACAUCGGUACCCCUGAGCUGAAUUCGUCCGCGACACCUCAAUUGACUGCGCCUGCGGACAGGUCUUCAGGUCCUCACGUCGGGAAGGCAGGUGGUCUCGUCGGGGCAGAUGUAGGCAUGUUGCAUUCACCUUGCUUGGUACUUUGUGCAUCCCUGGAUCACCACGAGCCCUCAGCGAGGGGGAUAGACCCUGACCGCGCCUGUAGCGCAUCAAUCCCGCCGAUCGACGUCUGCCGUAGGAAAAUCUCGAUCCCACGCACGGUGCCAGGUCUAACCCGAAACGGACGGGUACACAAACCGACACAACUGCGUCAUGCGCUUUGUUACCGGAUGCUAUACAAAUACGUUAGGAGACAGAUGGGACGGUGGUUUGCGAGCGGGAGGGGGAGGCAUGCAUGUGUGAAUGGAGGUUGCAAGCAUUGGAGUGGAAAUUAGACAUCGGCCGGACCAUCUCGUCGAAGCACGAAGCUUACUUGAAUAAUGAAGAACAUACCCCGGGGCUGUUCUAGAAAGCGAGUAGCAAAUAGAACGCGACAGACGGAGAGACUGGAAGAAAGCAUAGCGACUAGCAGAGACGUAAUAGCGACGUACGAAAGCAUAGUACUUCAGGGCAAACCACGGUCCGGACAUCCGCACCACUACGAUCCUACAUAGCCACCGAAUUCGUGGCCUUCACCUUCGCCAGUUCGUCCAGAAGCCUCGCCCGCUCAUUGAGGAGCGCAAGCGUGUACUCCGUCGUCGGAGCGUUGUGCGGCGUGAUGAUCCUGUGUGAUCCACUGCCAGAACGGGCGUGUGGUUGGGCAUGGGGGGACGGGUGCCGCUGCGACGGCGAUGCGGACAGCCCAGAGUAUGACUUGGCCCGAUGAUAGGUGGAUGCGGACAACGGUGCGCUGGGCGGGGAGCGUCGCUCGUAGUAGAACUGCAGCUCUGAAUGUUCAUCUGCUUUGUCUAUCCACCCAUCGUAGCGGAAGGGGAGAGGAGUUUUCGCGGGAGGUGGUAAGUCGGCGUCGCCCUCGUCAUGCUCGUCCAUAGUCGCGCAAUGGCAUACGGAGGUAGCAGUUGAUGCAUCGAGUUCGCUGUCGAGGAUGAACGACGGAUCUUCGACUUCAUGGAUGCAGCGUGGUGGCGGUCGCCUUGAGCUUGUUGAAGACGCGCUGUGGCGGAGGGCAGGGGUAGGAGCGGGCGGCAGCGAGGGCAAUUCGGGAAGUGUUUGGGUGAGGGAUGUGAGCUGCUCCGACGCGAAGGAUGACAUACUCGUGUCGGAUUCAGCCACGCCGGUCUGCAUCAUCGACAAAUUCGAGUGCAUACCACUGGUGACGGUGGAGUGGGUGUCCGGGGAAGUCGCCCGGCGGUGCGCGUUGGGUGGUAAGGAUGGAGGUAGGUCGUUCUCGGACUGCGAGGGACCUGCCAGAAGACCCUUCCGCCUCCCAAGCCAACAGAGGAGCUCACCAAUGAACUCAACCUCCUCCUCCUCUCCGGCCGCGAGCCGACGCGGGUCAAUCUCGCUUAGCCCCACGUCCUCGCCCCCAAGUGCAUCACUCUCGAAUACUCCGAGGAAGAUCUUCAUCGCUUGAACCUUAUUCGUGAAGUCGCGCGACGCACGGAUUGUGGGAGAAAUAGGAAGGCGCCACUGCAGAAUGGAUUCCAGGAUACCAAGGAGCAGGCCAGGUGUUAGGUCCCAUGGCGUCUCCAGAGCGAAAGGCAAGGAGAUGCUCAGCUUGUCGACGAGUUCGUUCAGACUAUCCACGAGAUCAGGACUGCGAUGUGCAUCAGCAUAUGAUUCUGGGCGUAAGUUAUCCAUGCUACCCAGAGCAGAAGAUGUCGACGGAGUGAGACGAUGGGUGCAGACUGUGCAGUCACUGCGGUAGGAAACUGAAGACAGGCGCUUUGGUCCACGAGGCGGAUCGUGUCUUGUUUGGCCGUAUUAUGCAAGAGCCUCUGAUCCUAACACGACCAAACACCCUCUCACCUGAAGAACUUCAACAUAGGACGUCACGAGUAUCGUCACACCAGAUGUCGUUUAAUCUGUCCUUAAUUAGAGCUAACCCCAUACCACAUAUGAAUGCCAUACAUUACAUGACAGGGAAUACCGCCCCUUUUGGUCUGUGGGCAGCACAUGCGGGGGUACACACCAUUGGACGAGUAUCUCCGAGGAUCUACCGCCAUCAGCUCCUUGCGUUAUUGCGGCGUACGUAGUUGAGGCUGCUGCAGAUUUGAGGGAAAAAAUUGGUAAUAAUAAGUAAGGGCCCGUUCGGCGCGGGUCUAUUAAGGGUAAUGGACUCCAUUAGAUUAACUCUCCAUGGAACAAAAAUUAAGCGCCUCAUAAUCCAACCCGUGAGAAGUUGUCUUCCUGUGGGCGCUCGUGCCCCGUCUGUGGUGGAUCCGUCUCCUGCUGUUGGUCUCUCUCUGCCGCAUAAACAUACCCCGGGGUACCAGAAAGCUUUGGAGAUCACUCGAAAUCCUUUCCCAAACUACCAUUCAAUUUUUGGUAGGGAGUAUUGAUGGGGAAGGGAUGGUAUAGAGGCAUUCGACUGUCAAUAGACUCGCGUUCGAUUUGCCUGAUGGAGGUAUUAAUGGAGGCGACGCCGAACACAAGGUCUGUUAGGUGAACGUCAAGUCGACCUUAUCGUAAUCUAAUGGAGUCUAUUACGGGUAAUAGACCUGCGCCGAACAGGCCCUAACAUGCCGUAUGCCGUCACUUUUCGCUUUUCGGAGGCUUGCUAGAGGCUGGUAUGAGCAUGUUGUCAAUGAUCAGCGCGGGUCUUCGUAGACAUUCCAAACUUUGAUAUCCGGCUCGUACGCGUUGUUAUUGAAUUAAGUGCACUUGAAGUGUGAUUUGAAGCUAGAGACAGCCUCCCGGCAAUGUUCACAUUUUUGAGCUAUUGAGAGAUAGUACGAUUUGCAGCGAUGCCAAUCCUUCGUGACAACUAGGGUCCAGAGGAUCCGGUCCACCAUGAGCAAUUCACAUGUUUUUCAUAUGAAGGAGUUACUAGUCAUAAGGUAGUCCCGAAGGUAAGUCUGCACUUAUAUGAGUUCAUUUGUGUGUUGAGGAGAAGACAAGGUGGUAAGCGCGCAACAUGAGAGCUGGGCGUCUUUUAUCUUCCAGUGUGGGAAGAAGCACCCCACUUUGGGUCCAGCGAGUUGUGUUUUGCACACUUGCUUGUCCGUCAUCAUAUGCGCACCCGCCCUCUUUUACUUGCAGCUUCCAUGGACAGUUCCCGUUGCCGUCUGAGGCUGCGCUCGCAACUCCGACUCGACUGAUGAAGGUGAUUUGCGUGCGAUUUGCAUGUGCUGUAGUCGUCGUGCGAGGCAAGUAAUGGUAUCAUAUGGAUUCUGCGUCGUCGGGCAUCACUGUGACUGUCUUACUGACGUCCGCCUGACCAGCUCUCUAUCUAUGGCCUCCAUGUGCAAGCGCUCCACUAGCACUCUCUGCCACCCGGCCAUGUCGUCACGCGUCUGCUCACUUGCGAGCAAGCAUCAAAGCGAAGCCCGUGAAUUCUCUUCCAAGUAGCGCUGGGUUCCAUUAUAUAUCCAGACGACGUUGAAAGAAAUUCAGCUCUGCGGCCAUUCCCCCAACCCUAGUCCCUUUCUCGUCUGAUUUACGACCGGCUGCGAUGCGUCUCUCGCUCCUCACAUCUUUAGCCGCCCUCGCGGUCAGCUCGUACGCUCAGUCUCCUUCGGCCGAUGCUUACGUCGCGUCUGAGUCUCCAGCUGCAAAAGCUGGCCUCCUCGCCAACAUAGGUCCAAACGGCUCCAAGGCCAGUGGUGCAAAGGUGAGCACCGCGCUCAGUCAGACCGUUGUACAGAAGUCGGAUUUUCGUUGCCUCCGAGCUUCCCUUCCAUGUGCACGUUGCGUAAAACUCUGACACAUGACCGUGUGUGCGCGUCUUAUUGACAGGCGGGAAUUGUAAUUGCCAGCCCGAGCACGUCGAACCCAAAUUACCUCUAUACAUGGGUCCGCGACUCGUCCCUCGUGUUCAAGACCAUCAUUGACCAGUUCACGACCGGCGAAGACAAAUCGCUUCGUGGUCUGAUCGACGAGUUCACCACCGCCGAGGCUGGCCUCCAACAAGUGUCUAAUCCCUCCGGUUCGGUCAGCACCGGCGGUCUCGGAGAACCCAAGUUCAAUAUCGACGCAACCGCCUUCACUGGCGCGUGGGGCCGCCCUCAGCGCGGUAGGUAUUACGAGUGCUACGCUUGUCCAACGACUCCUACCAUGCUCAUUGUUGAUGCCUCGUGCUCAGAUGGUCCUGCUCUCCGAUCAACCGCACUUAUCACAUAUGCCAACUGGCUCCUCGCGAACGGCAAUGGCACCUCCUACGUUCAGAACACGUUGUGGCCCAGUAUCAAGCUCGAUUUGGACUAUGUCCAGAACAACUGGAACCAGUCAACGUGUGUUCCCUUGAAACUCUAGGUUUAUGCCCCAUGGCUGACACUCGGCGGCGCAUAGCUUCGACCUUUGGGAAGAGAUCAACUCGUCGUCCUUCUUCACCACCGCGGUGCAGCAUCGCGCCCUCCGCGAGGGUGCGGCAUUCGCCAAGACGGUUGGUCAAUCUUCGGUUGCCGAUGGGUACACGACGCAGGCGGACAACCUUCUCUGCUUCCUCCAGGUAAGCUCCCAGCCAUGUGUACGGUCACGGGCUGUGGUGUUGACCUGCUUCCCACCAGUCGUACUGGAACUCCAAUGCGGGCUACGUGACUUCGAAUACGGGAGGCGGUCGCUCCGGCAAGGACUCCAACUCCGUUCUCGCCUCGAUCCACACAUUCGAUGUCGAUGCCGGCUGCGAUGCUGCAACGUUCCAGCCGUGCUCGGACAAGGCGCUCUCUAACCUUAAGGUCUAUGUUGAUUCGUUCCGGUCUGUAUACAGCAUCAACAAUGGUAUCGCCGGCAACGCUGCCGUAGCGGUUGGCCGCUACCCUGAAGACGUUUACUUCAACGGCAACGUGGGUUCAUCUUUAAACCUACCAUCACCACCUUUCCGACUAACUUUGACCUUCUGACGCAGCCUUGGUACCUCUCUGUGUUCGCGGUCGCCGAGCAACUCUACGAUGCCCUCAUCACUUGGAACAAGCAAGGCUCGCUCGACGUGACGUCCACCUCGCUUGCCUUCUUCAAGCAGUUUGACUCCUCUGUCGCUAUCGGCACCUACACAUCGUCCUCCUCGACCUACAGCUCGCUCACCUCAGGCAUUAAGACCUUUGCGGACGGCUUCCUCGAGAUUAACGCCAAGUACACGCCCUCGAACGGCGGGCUCUCCGAGCAGUUCGACAAGAGCUCCGGCUCGCCCCUCUCCGCGGCCGAUCUCACCUGGAGCUAUGCCUCCGCGCUCACCGCCUUCGCCGCACGCUCCGGCAAGACCUACGCGAGCUGGGGCGCGUCCGGGCUGACCAUCCCCAGCCAGUGCAACGGCAACGCGGGCCCGACCGUGUCCGUGACGUUCAACGUGCAAGCAACGACCGUCCUCGGGGAGAACAUCUACAUCACCGGCAACACCGCCGCGCUGCAGAACUGGUCCCCAGACACCGCGCUCCUCCUGUCUGCCGCGAACUACCCAACGUGGAGCAUCACGGUGACGCUCCCCGCGUCGACCGUUGUCGAGUACAAAUAUAUCCGCAAAAACAACGGCCAGGUCACGUGGGAGUCGGAUCCGAACAACUCGAUCACUACGCCCGGCAGUGGGUCGUUCACUCAGAACGACACAUGGCGGUGACCAGUGGGGUGGAGUCCGGAUACUUUGGGUGGAGGUGGUACCUCGUGUGUAUAUUUCGUCCUCGGGCGCUCGACGGAGUGGUGGAAGCAAACCGGCCUACUUAGCUACUAACACGAUGAUCAGUUCAUUUGAUGCUUAGUCUAUAAUUGGUGCCACUAAACGGAAUGUAAAAAGGUGUCUCGCUGGCCGCUUGCCGUCGACUUUGAGGACCACGGCGUCGUUACAAUCCUUUCAUGCCUCUGCAUGUCCCAUCUCAGUGGACGCCUAGCCAAGUCUCAGGUGUAGUGUGGCAAUGAUACCUCGCAUCCAGCAACGGAUUGGGGUCAUACAGACUCUAGCGGUACGUGGCCGAACCCUUCGCGUGCAGCAUUCUUCGAACCUGACCAGAACGCGCUGUUCAUCAUAUCCCAACGCUGGUGGUCACGUUCCCCAGACAGAGACACCAUCGUUCCGUGACAAGCAUCCGUGAUACGUCGUCCCUUCGACAGACGUGUGAGUAUCGUUGUCGAUCGCGUCUCGGCCAUCCCAUAUCCACGGGCACAGUAUUAGCAGUUAAUCAUUUGGCGUGCGCCGCAUUGUGAACACUUUGACUGCAGGUAUAGUAUCGCACACAUCAUCCAUUUGUGAGGGCCGUCCAACUUUAUCAAGUGUUUCACCUUCGGCGGUCUCAAACGGGGUGUGCUUCUACCCGUUUUGCUACCGGCUCCUUCUACGGCUGGGCCUGUACUUGCUACUGCCGAUGUCAAGAAGACCCGCAGUCGUCGGGCAGAAUUCGAUGGGUCGAAUGAUAUCAUGUCCGUGUCUCCCUCAAGUAGGGGUCCCGCAGGAUAGCGGAAGGACAGUAGGGCUGGUUUCCGACUCCUUUGUCUUCCUGUUUAAACGGCCGAUUUCAUAUCUGCUCUUCGUCUGAUAUGUUGCUUCAACCGGACAUGGGCAGGUUUAUCACGCUGCAAGAUGCUUAGUAAGUGUUCUGAGAAUAGUAUGCACAAGGGGGGCUCAUGUACAUAUAACUCUAGCUUCACAGGAAACUUGAUAACUGUAGGCAUUGCUGGUAUGUAUGCGUGCAUGCAGACUACUCCGCGAUUCGGGAUUUACGUUCAACAGCCUUGGUUGGCUACGACUACCUUCUCACCAUCCGGCGAGAAGCGCGUCUAUUUUGGAACCGCAGGAUGAACGCGGCCACAAUCCUGUUCUUUGCGAACCGUUAUCUUGCUCUGGCCUACUACGUGGUACUCGCCUACUACCGAUGCCUCUCGCUGCCGUACUUCGUAAGUCGUAUCGCUUAUAAGGUCCUGUCAUCACCGCUGAUUCAACGGUUGCAGGAGUAGGUUGACGUGGCGAAUAUCGGCAUGAAUGAACUUGGAUACUGACAUUGAGAUAGUUGCCAGGUGCAAUAUUAUGUUGACUGCGGUUUAAGACAUUUGCAAUACGUUCCUUGGGCAGGUCAGUUCAUGUUAAAUCCGUAUGUAAAGGGAACUCGUACUGACCUUGUAUAACGAGGGCAGUGUUUUCGGCAUUGCGCGUAUAUGCUCUCAGUCAACGAAAUUGGCUUGUGACCGCAGCCGCUUUCUUUUGGUCCGUGCUCGCCUUCCCCCUUGAAUACUACGUAAGUCGUGAUGUAUCUACAAUCUUCCCGUUUGCUCCAUACAAUGAUCCCAAAUUAGGGCGACUUUCACCUUGUCUCCUUCGUCGACGAUCUGGUCCUAGGCUGUAUGCCAACAGCGACGAAACUCACUUUCCUCAAUCUACUGUAAGUCAGCGUAUGCUUUUCGAUUUUAUCACGCGUUGACCACGAUUUCAGCGGCGAGUCCUGUCAUGCAUCGGCCGAAGCCUUGUCUCCUCACUCACGCUCAUCCACAGGCAUCAGUUUCAUUCGCGGGGGUCAGGUCAUUGCCGAUGCCAUCGUGAUCGGAGUUACCUGGAAAGCUACUCGCCAUGUGUAUAGAGAAGGGACAACGUGUUUCCUGACGAGGGUGAUGUACAGAAACAGUAAGGUCAUUUCGAUGUGCAGCCGGAUCCGCUUCGUGCUAACGUGAAAAUAGGCAACCUGUACUUUGUGUGAGCAUCUCGUACUCAUUUCACCACAUAUACUUAUUAACGGUCACAGUACACUACUGGUGCUGAAUCUCCUGCAUAUCCUGUUCACCUUCCUCCCGGUGCGGCCAACCUAGCCCCCUCAACAUCCCACUUUCGAUGCUUAUCGAACAUUUCAGAACUCCUUCUUGCACAUACCGUUCACGAACACGUCUUACGUGACUAGGUUUGCAGAGCCGUUAAGUCCCUCUCCCUCGCCCACGUGGACUUGUGCUCACGCAUUGUUUUCUAGCAUCACAUCGAUUCUCAUCUCCCACUUCACCCUCGAUCUCCAUGACACUCACCGAAGGACGGUCCAUCAAAGCGGCUCGACUGGCAUUCAAAUCAUGCGUUCUGAUAUCGGUGGAGGGUGCUCGAGAGAUUCUGUAUCCAUGGAAAUGGAAGAGUGGUCAGUCAGUUUCGAUGCUUUGUGUGAUACCGAGCUGGGCUAGCGGUGCGCGGUGAGUCAUGUCAUUCAUCACGAUGGGGCCUUAUCUAAUCCUUGACAGGUAGGUGGCACAUGGUUUCGUGUAACAGUAGACAUCUAGUUGCGUUUGGUUGCGAUUUUACUGUCAUGCUCAUGCAGGCCAUACCCCUGCGAUUCCAAUACCCACGCAUGGUCGGCUCAACGUGGGUGACCUGGUUGGGGGGCUGACACAGAAACCUUUCGAGGAAUCCUGCCAACUCACCUAGUGCUUCUCAAUUGAGCAGACAGUCGACCAUGGAAACGCCUCAGUCACCCCUAAAACAGCCCUCGUAAGCCGUCGCAGGCGACGCGCCAAGAUGUUUCCUACCUUGCGCUCAUGCUGCCAACCAAGGAGCAUUUAAAGGGGAAUCGGUCCGCUGAGGGGUAUGGUCUGCGUCGUGAUCCAUCACACACCAGCGUGGAGACUGACUGAGCUGUGAGCUGUGUGGUUGACGAGGCAUAGAAGCUGUCGGCGACUUGCCAUGAGUAGAGGCAAUUACGGCGCGGAAUCCACAUUAUGUCGUUACCUCGACAGGCAAUAUCAACAACACGGCCCUCCUUACGUCCAACACGUCACGAUCUACUCUUCGCCAUCUUCAACCCGCUAUCCGCCUUUCCAUAGCUGCAUGCGUACUCCAGAUAUAGUACGUACGCAUGGUACAGGUGCAUUUCUUCACGAUCUACAUACGUCCCUGGUACUGCCAUGAUAUCUUUAUCCCUCUACAGAAUGGCUUGUGAGUGAUUCUAUUCGUUUCUCCUCCUAUCACUUUCUAUAGGGAUGACUUAAUUCGCUCUAUCCGCCUUUGCCGGUGUCGAAGAACCUGAUGCGUCAAGUGAUCUCGGCCAUUGGGUCCUCAUAAGGAGGAGUCAAGCUAGCGUUCUUUAGCAGCGCUGGCUCGCGCUACCAGAGACCUCCGCACCCCUUCAGUUGCCCUGGACCUUACUCUCCCUUCGUCCUACUGGGCACUAUGGUUCCUACUGAUGGCGAUACAACCAGGAUCAUUACUAUCAAAGACUCCAUGCAAGUGUCUCCCAGACCAUCGUACUCUGCAUAGCAUUAACUUAGGUGUAUGGUUCUAGUCUCACAGAGAACCUUAUGACCGUGGGCGUUGCGGGUAAGUACAUGCGCUUUCAGACUGCGACCGGGGUACUAAGGUGCGGUAUUGAUGCUUGGCAGCCUUGAUCGGCUACGACUACCUCCUCACCAUCCGGAGGGAAUCGCGUCUGUUUUGGAAAAGGAGAGUAAAUGCUGCGUCAAUCCUGUUUUUCAUGAACCGCUACCUCGCGCUGGUCUACUAUGUCGGCCUCGCGUACUACAGAUGUUUAUUGUUGCCGUAUCCAGUGAGUCUCCUUUGCCUCUCUCAGAAUUUCCUAAGUAUCCUAGUCCUGACCGUUGGUCACAGGAGUAAGUAGUUCCAACGACGCUCAGUUUCAGAUUUCCAACCGAUAUUGGGGCCAAGUUGCCAGGCGCAAUACUACGUCGACUCUGGUCUCAGAUACUUGGAAUACCUUCCUUGGGCAGGUCGGUCUGCUACAUAAUUAUCUGUGCGACUCGUGUUGAUCUCCUAUGUCGAGCGCAGUGUUUUCCGCCUUGCGUGUAUACGCACUCAGCCAGCGGAGCCGGUUUCUGAGUGCGUUUACCUUCUUUUGGGCCGUCCUCGCGUUUCCCGUGGACUACUAUGUACGUCUCCGGUUACACCAACUUCCCCUCCACUCCACAUCGCUAAUACCGAAUUAGGGUGACUUCCACCACACAUAUUUCGUCGACGAUCCGGUCCUGGGCUGCACGUCGGGGGCGAGUACGCCAUCAUUUCUUAGUCUGCUGUAAGCCACUACGUCUUCUCGACACGAGCAUGGCUGACGGGUUUUCCAGCGGUCCGUACUUCCCCAACGCCAAGGUAUCCCGGUUCUGACCUUAGUCUGAUGUCUAGGCACAAUCUUCAUUCGAGGGGGUCAAAUCAUCGCGGACGCUGUCGUUAUCGGGGUCACCUGGAGGGCGACCUACCACGCGCGCAGUGAAGGGUCCAUGUCCUUCCUGACGAGAGUCAUGUUCAGAAACGGUGCGUUUCCUACAGCCAGUCCCAUCUCAGUUUCUGAUGUGCGUUAUAGGUACUACGUACUUCGUGUGAGUCGCUCGCCCUCGUUGUAUCUACGCAUACAGGGGUUGACCAGCACGGCAGCAUCCUCCUGGUUCUGAACAUCGUCCACACCCUGUCUAUCUUCCUCCCGGUAAGGCACGCCUGCGCUCUCAUACAACGCCUGCGUCCUCAUACAAAUCUCCAGACGUUCUUCCUACACAUUCCGUACACAAACACGUCAUAUGUGACCAAGUUCUCGGAGCCGUUGAGUGCUUUCCUCCAUUCGCGUAGAUCGGUGCUCACCGUACACAUUGCAGCAUCACCGCGAUUCUGAUCUCCCGCUUCAUCCUCGACCUCCACGAGACCAACCGGGCAACAUCGCAGCGGGACGACUUGUCCGGCAUGGAACUCAUGGGCACUGAUAUUAGUAGCCGACCGGGUCCCGGGAGCUCAGUAUCCAAGGAAGUGGAUGAGUGGGCAGUCGGUCCAAAUCCUUGGCGCGACACCCAGUCGGCAUGAUGCCCAGAAUCCCAAGUGUGUGCGUGGUCGCGCUCCUGAUCCCACUAGCGUAUGUGGAAUGUGCUGUAGGGUAUGUAUGUCAUGGUCCACGGUGCCAGGAAGCUAUGUGCACAGGUAUGACCGUAGUAAAUGAUGAUAGCGUGCUCUAAAUAUGUAAGAUAAUCCAAAGGCCGUUCCACAAUAGUCUACACACGAACGGACCAUCCGUAGAUCCAUUACCUCCCUCUAAAUCAACGACCAUCCCUCAGAAGUACUUGUCCCAGAAACCCUUCGUGCCGUUCGUCGCCGCCGCGUGCUCCUCGAUGCCGAGCAGCUUCAUCAUGAGGUUGUACACCUGCACGUUCUCGAACGUCUCCAUCACGUAUGCGUCGUCCGCCGUCGAGUGCCACCCCUUGUUCGGCCGCGCGAGGGCGGCGUCGCGCCCGAAGAGCGACGCCGCGAACCGCCGUGCGGGCGACGCCGCUGCCGCCUGGAUGCGGUCCGCCUCGAUCGCCUUCACGACGGCGGAGAACGGCCCGUGCGCGACGAACAUCGCGUGCAUCUCCUUGUACUCGUUGUCGUAGCCAUGGCUCUGUAGACGCGGGGGUGUCAGUUCAGGGACGUGGGAUGAGGUGGAAGGACGAUGAAGCAGGGUGAGCUACGUACCCCCUUGUUCAUGCCCGAGCCGUUCUCUUCGCGGUUCGUGAGCGCGUAGCCGAUGCGCGGCACGACGUAGACGGGCGCGAUGCGCUGGUUCUGCGUGAAGUGCCAGCGCGCCGGCAUCGUCGCAUGCGUGUACACGUCGAACUUGCCGCCGCUCAUGCGCGACGCGUUCCGGAGCACGUUGAAGUACUUGUCCGUGUUCUCGGGGGUGUCGAAGCGGAGGCCCAUCGCCGGCCAGCCGUCCUCGUGCGCGAUGUGCGCGUAGCCGUCGCCGAGGAGGUCGUCGAUGAAGAUGAGUUCGGGGUGGCUCGUGUCCGUCAUGCCGUGGUCGCUGACGAAGACGAUGUCGACAAUGUCGGUCAGGUUGCGCGCCUCAAUCUCGUCAUGGAGGUCGCGUGCAAAGACAUCGACUUGCUUUAGGACUUUCUGCAGACGUUGACCCAGUCAGCACUAUAGGAGUAUGCGGCAGAAGACACUGACAUUGACGAGCUUAGAGGUGGGGCCAGUAAGAUGACCCGCCUGAUCGAGAGAAGGCUCGUAUGCUAGAAAUUAUCGUGAUCAAUGUAUGAAAAUGCGUGCCAGUCCGGUGUCAGACAAACCCAUUAUAAACUGAGGACGCGUCUCGAUAGGCAUGUCUAUCCAGCUCAGGAUUUGGUCGAGCUUCUCUUGCAGAGGAACGUGGUCCUUCAUCACAUGAUUCGGGAUAAGCCAAGGGUAUGCCGGACAAAGAUUGUAACACACCUUCCAAGGUACAAAGUACGUCGGAGAAGCACCGCUCGUGGUCUUGGGUGGCCCUGGCCUGUACCAGGUUAGGCAAAAUCUGAAACGCCAGGUAACGUUCACUGUAACAUACCACAUGAGGUUUGCACUUCUUACACCCGCCUUCUCCGCCGUCUCCCACAUCUAUACACGGGAAGACGUGAACAGGGUAGUCUAAAAUUAAGUCGUGAAAACGUACCGGUUCGCCGUACCACCAUUCCGAGACCCAUGCAGAUUCGAUGCGGUUGUAGUGGAAUUCACGAUGGGUAGCUGGAUCCCAGAAGUUCUGUGCGAGAUGUCAGGUUCGGUAAUCAAUAAGAGUGAAGAAGCGACAUACAUUGGCAACGAUUCCAUGAGACUCCGCAUAUAAACCAGUCCUGAGAGAUUGUGAGUGUAUGCGUCGAACAAUUGAUGUGGGGUGACGUACAUUAAGGCCCAGUGGUUACUUCCAACGCAUUCAAAGUCAAUUCAGGAGGUAGAAGAUAUCAUGCAUAGAACAACGUACGGAAACGUGAGCGUCUGCCAUAAAGAAGUUAGUACGAAUCGCCCACAGUAGAAGCAGCAGACAUACCGGAAAGACUGGUUGCAUGGACUUUGCUCGAAGUCCAUCCUUACUGAUUGCCAGCAGGUGGGGAGUCAAGCCACGGUCCAAAUAGUCCGCCCUACGACGCAGCGUUUGCUACGUCUCUUCACCAGAGGACGGUAUGUAAGACGUACCGUAGACCGUCGAUAGAAACAAUGAUUGCCGUCUUCUUGAAGUCAUGCGUGCCAUUACUAAGUAAACCUUGCGUCUUCAGCUGUGGCCUCGUGCCAGUCUCGCGAGGGCCCGAGAGGAAUUGUCGGAUGGGAAUGGCGAUCGUGAGCAAGAGGAAGGAAAAGAAGAGCCCAGUGAUCACAAGGCAUUUCCGCGACCUGGUGGGGGCCUGAAGCAUGACAUUCUCCUCUGCAUCGUAAUGAUCAUCUUCCGAUCGUCGCUCCUCGGGGGAUAUUAGUGCUUUGCGUUCGUCAUCGUCCACCGACUGGCGAGUAGAGUUUGUGGGAAGCUUAAGCUCGGAGUACUCCGGCUUCAUGUCGAAGGAAGUCAAGGGCCGAGUCGUCCGGGUGGCAACCGAGGGAGGAAAGCCGAGACCCACCUGCAGGUGCACUCGAUACGCCUGAGACAAGAAUGAAAACCCAAGGAGGAGGGAGCAGAGACAGGAACUGGAGACGACUGUAAUCGAGUGGUAGGCUAGGUCAGUCCAGUGGAGGAUGCCCGCUACUCGUCGUAUUUGGUAAGUCCGCUGUCGUUACGUAACUCAGCCUCAUUAGCCGCGCCCUGUUUGUGGCCACGUGCUAGCGAACCUCGCGUCCAGGGCGGCCGCCAUCUUAAAUCCUCUUGUCGCCAGUACUACGUGAAGUAGGUUAUUAUGUUUUUAGAGUGUUCGUUUUAUGUAAUAGCGUCCUUGCUGCCUCGAGCAGACUUUCAGAGUUUCAUCCACGGGUUCCGAACCGUGUUCGACUUCAACCUCGGACUCGAACACUCCGCCGCCACCUAAACACUGCACGCUUCAUGCGUUCAAUGCCAAAAGUCAUCCGUUUGUACACUCUACAUGUAUAAUCAGUCAUAAAUAUCCUGUUCUAUGGUGGAGUAUGUUCUCUUCGUCGGAUGCCUUGCUGACGCUACCCCGAUGAGAGAGGAUGUGGCAUUAGAUCCCGCUACUUACUCCUCUUCAGGGGGAAAUACAGGGGAUCCAUAUAGGAUCGUUCAUAUUGUCCGCGAUGAAGCUCGACAGGAGAGCUUUCUACCAUUCCCAAGCUUAGUCUCUCGCUCAGCUCACUCUUAUCAAUUCAAUUAUCUUAACAUCCUUCUCGAAUCCCACGCAGUGAGUCCCAUUGCCCAUUUGCUGCUUCCAAUGCUCAAAAUAUCGUCUCUUUUCGCUCUCUUCUUCUAGUGAGCGUUUCAUCCGUCUUCGCGACUCAAUGCGCUAGAGAAGCAUCGGCCGCAUUCACAACGCCAAAACCUCUGUCCGCUGAGGAAGCCGCGAAUUUGCUCUCCCCCUUGCUUCCAUCCCCGCUCUCCGAGGACGAGAUCGGUCUCUUUUUUUACGGCUUGCCCUCUACACCUCAACUUAUCGCUCGCACGGGUGCCCCAUGGAAGAGACCUCCCCCGGGCCCUUAUGACUACCCAUAUGCCAGAGAACUUCGGGCAGUAGGCGAACACGCCAUCGCUGCCCCGGGAGUCUGGGAGAACAAAGUAGGACCCGCGCUCCUCAACGUCCUCGACGAGGAGGAGGUCAAGUGGGAAACUAUCGACGUCCAUCGCAUUCACUAUGUCGAACUCGAUGACGCGGCUCCCUUCCCGGUCGUCGUCUGUAUCGGGGUUCAGCUUGGUGCCCUUUCCGGAGAGGAAGGUGCUCCUGUGGCCAAACGGUGCCAGCAGGUUCUCGACAGCUUCGGCCUCGACGACCUAGAGGUCGCCAUCAAAGUGUCGAACCGCUUCCAAUCGGUCGCUCCCGCGCCCGCAUUUGAAGAGGCUCCGGGUUCGGCGAGCUGGUUCCAGCCUGUUGGCCCCCUUGCCAAGCUCCACAUGCCUUUCACCUCCUUUGUCGGCUUCCCGCUUUCCAGCGAGGCUCACCCUACCGUUGAAGGUAGUGGUGGAUUCUUCUUUAUCAAUGGCAGCGACACCUCCAAAGUCUACCUCCUCACCGCCCGCCAUGUGGUCAUCAAGGCCACCACCCGGGACAAGAACACUGUCUACGAUUACAAGUCUGCCAGCAAACCCCGCCGGCAAAACGUCACCGUAUUCAGCGGCACGGGCAUCGCAGAGCACAUGGAAUCCAUCCGGAUUGAGAUUGGGAAUCAGUCCCGCGAAAUAGACGUCUUCCAGGAUUGGAUCGAUGAGCAGCAGGAUAAGGUCGACAAGACGCAGGGGAAAGACGCGGACGCAGUUAGAAAGCUCAGAGAAACCCAGGGCUUGCUCGAGGAGGGGCUCAAAAGGUCGAAAGACCUCGAGAAACGCUACGAGGAUGUCGCCAAGCUGUACCUCUCCAACCUCGGCCGCACACUCGGCUUCGUCAGCUACUCUCCGCCCGUCGGUUUCUCCCUCGGCGAGCACAAGUAUACGGAGGAUGUGGCCAUCAUCGAGGUCGAUGCCGACAAGAUCAACGCCGACACCUUCCGCCCCAAUGUCCUGGCCUUGAACGUCAAGUUUGAAUCCAAGCCGAUGGUAGUUCUGAGCAGGAUGUUGCGUCCGUACAAGGAUCGCGGCCUUUCACCGUCACUGUAUCCAUCAGGCCGCCUCCUCCAGCUCUCCGGCAUCCUUCCCGACUCAGAUCUUCGAGAGGCGAAAGGGAAGGACACCAAUGGCGGCCGGGGGGGCAUCACUGUGCUCAAGCGAGGCUGGACAAGCGGCCUCACCCUCGGCCUUGUCAAUAAUGUGCCUUCCUACACCAAGACCUACUGGGAGGACGGCACCUCCGACGUCUCCAUGGAGUGGCCCAUCUUCAACUACCUCUACGACGACAACACGCCCGUGGCCUUCUCCAGACCAGGAGAUUCUGGCUCGGUCGUCGUCGAUGGCAUGGGUCGUAUUGCCGGAAUCAUCACAAGCGGCUCUGGGUACUGCCACACGGUGAACGGGAUUUGCAUCACGACGGCCGUGGCGGACGUGACUUACAUGACGGCCGCCGAGUUCAUUCGCGACCAAAUGCGCACCCGCGGUAUCGACAUGAACGUCGACUUCACCCUCGCUUAGGACGGUGGGAACUUCCCACCACGCUUGUCCCAUUAUCAGCGGCUCGGACUGAAGCCCCCAAGAAGACUGUGCCUCGCGCGAGCAAUGUAUUGUGAGGGUUAACAGUCUAGAUACUGUUAGAAAGCUAAAGGAUAGUGACAUCGACGUAUUCCUCCUUUGAGGACAAGUAGUUUCUUGCCAAUAUUAUUUCGGGAAUACGCCAUCCGGCCACAAUUACAAUAGCACAUAUGAUACUAUACAACGCAGAACAUCUAGCUCGAUUCAUCACAUAUAUUUCUCUUCAUCCAUGUCGUCCCAGGGCCAGUGCUCCUCGGUCUCCGCCCGUUCCUCCGCCGACUCGGCCGCCGCCAACCCAACCGCCUUCAUCUGCCUGCUGCGCUGACGGGCCGGUGGCCGGCGUCUCCCUGGUAGUCGCGCCCUCACCCUUAGGGCCAGAUGCCGACGCUAUUUUGGCACAGUUUCAAAUCACGAACGGGUGGCCUCGAACGCCUGCAUGCUCCGCGCUUCCGACCAGGAAGACAUUAUCGUCUCCGAGCUCGAGAUCGAUAAGAGGCGAAUGCGGUUGUCUCCUACUAGAAAGCGUGAGGGAGACGUCGCCGAUAUCGUCUACAGGAGAGGUCAAGAGCGACGGAGCCGGCGCGGACGGUUCAGGCCGGAUGGGCUGUAGCCCGCAGGCGUCGCGAUCGAAGGACUGGAACGGAUGGCCGACGUAUCGCCAGUAGUCUGCUGCACUAGGGACGAGGUUCUGAGCAUGACUGGUGGCGUCGAAAGCGUGGCAGAAAGCCGACAUGGGAGGCUGACACGAGUGCGGAGAGGGAUGGUCGGGCCGAGGUUCCGAGUGGCCACAGCCCAGGGCAAUGUUGCAGGCGAGUAUAGGUGCGUUGGUGCCAGGCAAACCAUGCGAGUUCUUCGCCCCGGCGUGCACCAGACCGCUAGCCUCGAACUUCCCGGCUGUCAUUCAUUCUCGCACUCAACAACAGACGGCAAGGUAAGCGUACCUCUUGCAGAGGAGCCGGGAGGAUCUCUUCCAUCUGCCGCGAUCGAAUGAGCAAGCUGAGCUGAAGUGGGCGCCAUAAGGAAACAUGACUGGACGGACCAAGAACACUUCCUCCAGUGGCGCUGGGAUAAUCUCUUGCAUAUAUGCCGCACCCUGAAGCUUGACCGCGUGUCGGUGGGAAACUUGUCUUCGUUUGCUCCACACUCGGUAUGCCUGUUUAUGAACAGUCAGCUUCGAUCUCAACAGCAAGAAACCUAUGCACUGACCUGAACUGCGGGGCGGCGAGCAGGUCUGCGCCUCUUGUGAGUUGCCUUGGUGUCGCGCUCCUCGGGCGGCCAGGCGGCGCUGCGGCUUGUAGCAGGGGGCUGGAAGGCUUUCGUUGGUACCCCGGGCAGAAUAGAAACGGUAACCUGCUUCGCUGAGUUCCUGGCUCCUGCGCGAACCAUAGCCGUGAAUGCACCAGGCCACCGAGUGAGCGGUGCAGAUUCGUAGGCGUACCCGGCCGCGACACGCGUCGAAGAGAGGAUGUCGAUCAUUCUGACGAUGUCGGUGAGGCGAGAGGGCUUCGGGCCAAUGUAAAUGGAUGAGUGCUUUUUAAUCAUGGCAGCAGCGGCCGACAAUGGUGGCGGUCAUGGCUAUCUAGUGUUGGUCAUGUUAGCCUCCUGAGCCCAGAACGUCUACCACAAAACAAGCUUCCAGCCCACCUUAUUCACAUCCAGCGUCUUCGUGACCAAGUGUAGGAUACAAGUUUCUCUGAGGCGUUGGCCCCAGCCUUUUCUGAAGGCGGACUGCGAUUCGGCACCGAGGAACAUGCGAUGUAUGUAUAUGUAAUCUCACAACUGAGGGCACAGGAAAACGCAACACCUACAAACCUAGACCUCGACGGUCGCCCCGAGAGUCAGCCCGCGACCGGUAGCCGUAAAAUCGACCAUCCCGCCUCCGAUCGGGUACCAUGUCUGCACCUCGUCAGCCUCAUCGUCGUCAGGGCAAGCGUACACCUCGUAGACCAGCGACACGGCGAUGGCGGUCAGACACGGGCGGGAGGGGCUGGGGGGACCCGUCGAGGAGGUGAUGUCUGCAGUAGGAAUGCCCGAAGGACGAACUGGAGUGAUAUGGAUGGGGUGAGAGCGAGGUGAACGGUCUGAUACGAAGCUUCCAGGAGGCGUAAGAGGCGUGCCGUCGCGGGGGAGUCUGGAGUGUGGAACGCGUCCGGAGAUCGCGGUAACGUCUUCAUUCACGGCUUCCACAGCUGGUUGCUUGUGCUCGCGGGCUUUACCAUCAACCGGUGCCGUGAUUGCAUGUGGCAAGUUGAAGAUGCUGGAGGUGCGGUGCGGGGCAGCUGCGAGCGAGAUGUUGGAGCCGUCAUCCGCUGGAAGUGAAGCCUGUACAGGGUCGUCCGCCAGCGUAAGCCUUCCCAUUCCUCUGACAAGGCCGUCCACCUCGAAGUCGCCGAUAGGUUGGGGAUGCAACGGGCAGCUCAAGCGUACGUUCUGGCGGAGGUUACGCAUCAACGUUGGGAGAAUAUUCGCGGGAGAAGCCCACCUUCUGCUUCUGCUUCUUUCUCUGGGGGCCUUUAACGACCUCAUGGCGCGACCUCUUAGAGUUCAAGCUGAACUAGAGCCACGAAUGAUGAGGGGCGAUUCGUAAUAGGAUAAAGCAAGUCACUCACCUUGUACGGGGAACCAAACGCCCUAGUAGGCGCUCGGAAGGGCUCUGCCUCACCGUAGACAGACGCGGUACCCGUGGUACUGCUGUUCAUGGGAUCGGGCGAGCUGGGUGUCUCCAGAUGGGCGACAGCAUCGAGGAAACGCAAGUGGGGCAGGAUCGCGCGUGCAGGAUGCUUGCAAUUGGGGUGAUUCGAUCCUUGGGGCAUGAAAGGCCUGUCAAUGUGCAUCAUUACCAAGAAGAGAACGCGGUUUCCUACCCAUGAUACCGCACGAGGGUACGACUCAACACCGCUAAACAGUCGUCUGCUGGGUUUCAGGCAACGUCAACGUCCGGGACAGCACACGGAUCGCACUGGCGGCUGAGCUGCGAGGUUGACAUACAGCUCGGGCCCAGAUCGGGACCAUCAAUGAGUUGACUAGGUCCGGUUGGUUCGAAGAUCCAGCCACAAUAUUGGGGAAAGCGUUCAUUAUUGGAUCAUAAUAAAGGUGAGCAUGAACUACGCUGGAAUUCCUAGACAUUUCGUCAAUAUUCCAAUCACAUGAGAUCAUACAACCAGAUGAUAUUCACCUACAGCCCAAGAACAGAAAACGCAAACAUUGCACCAAAGACCGCUGCCAGAACCAGACUACGACUAGUUUCCCCAGUUCUGGAACAGCCAUUAUUGCGAGUAGUCGUAGCAGAGGCGGUGGCGCUACCAAUAGAAGCAUUCGACGAGGAACUGCUGCUACUAGAUGAAGUCGGGGAAGCAGGAAUGGUGCCGACAACGCUCGUGCGGGUAAUUGUGGCGGGUGGUAUCCCUCCUGAGGUAGAAAGACUGGAAGGGAACACACUUGUAGAACUGAUGUCUGAAAAGUUAGCAUCGAGGAUUUGGAAUGUGCCACUAAGGUUGUUCACAUCGCCGAGCACUAACGUCGACGAAUGUUCAAUACAAACAUGUGCUUGUAAGGAGCGAUAACUCACAUGCAACGACAUAACGUUGGCCGCCAGGUAGAUUGAACGGACAGCGGACGUUCACUUUCCCGUCCUCGAGCGAUACGUUCGUCGCCAAGGGCUGGUCUACGAGAAUGAGCCACCCAAUGUCUGUGUCUUCAAAACACGUUAUAUAAAUGACAUACCUCUCCAGAGAAAGUCGGACCCAUCCGAGUUCAGAUAUCCCAAAAGAAUCGUCCCAUUCUGCCCCGCGAGAUCCAAGUCUUGAGUCAACCUGGUGCCAUCUAUGAGUAUACGGGACAAGCAUGCGGCAAACCUGCCAAAACUACGCAUACCAUUGGACAGUUUCCACCUGACCAACCGUCCACGCCGUUUGCGAGGUAGGUUGAAGGAUGGUUGGCGAGACAACGCGAGGAACAUGGACCGACAGGGCAUGAGCAGCAGCAAGAAAAAGGACCCAGGUGUAAGGGAUCAUGAUAAUGCCCUCCAAGUCGGUGGCAAUCGCAAGCCCCAAGUAUGGCGCGUCCACAGAGGUUGGACGGGGGAAUGACCUCGAAGCAUAUUGAGGCUGAUGUCGCUGUCGUUUUCAAAUGCGGGUAGGGCGCUGAUGGCGAGGAGACUGAAGCAGGACAUUGGACAAGCGCAACGCCGACGGCGGUCAUCCGGACAUCGCAUAUCCCAACGGGCGUCUAUGCCAGGCACCCGCCGGGUUCGGGCGAGUAAGCGUGCUCUUGUUCCUCGUAUUACGCCUACUCCUUAUAUGUGUGCUCGACGUCGUUUCUGAUAUGCUACUCUCGGGUUAUCCUUACAUUGCCCAGAACUCAGAGGAUGCCAUUAUCGGGAUCACGCAAGACAUAAGGAUCUAACACUCACGAAGAUAAGGUGAGCCUAGGCCUCGCCUGUAACUCUACCCUACAUUGCUCGCCUAUGCUGGACUGCGAAUGUCCCUUCAACGUCUUUGAAGGAACUAUUCUCGACCCUAUCACGCGUAUGCAACGCCUCAUCAGCGUACAGACAUGCCUAUCUUUGCUCGACUUCGGCAGAAGUUCGAUAACAGAAGGAGACAGGCCCGCCUGAUCAAGCUCCGCGCGGGACAAAUACUUAAGGGCGUGGUGCCUGCCUACCCCACACGCCGGCUUCUCGUCCGUGUCCCUGUCCUCGUCGACCACGACCUCCACGACCUCGGUCGCCCCCGCGGUGUGAACGACCUCGAGAGAGCCGAUUGUGCGAGUCCCGCCGUCGGAUCCUACGCACGAAACGUCCGCUCCUCCCCCGCUCCACUCGCGGUCCUGCUUCCUUGGGACUCGUGCUAGCCUUUAGGUCAACAUCAGGUCCACAUCGACGACGCCCUACCCGCCAUGCCUCUGCUCUCGACCAUCAUGCAGUUGGUUUGCCUCCUGCUCGCUUUCGCCUUCACUGUUCUGGCGAAGCCGCUCGCCUUCCGGCCCCGCGAUGCGAUAUCCCCACCCAUCACGAACCCAACCGCGAGUACAGUGUGGAAGGCCGGGGAUACACAGACCGUAGUAUGGUAAGCCCACCAGCAACCUGGCUUAGGGCAUCUGACGCGACGUCGACAUCGAACCCGCCAAACAGGGACCUGUCUGGCUUGAACGGCGCCCAGCCGUCGAACCCCAUAGGCAAGGUUAUUCUCGGCACUUUCAUUAACGGCGAGGAGCACCUUAUGCUCGGUACGUCCCCACAUGCUCCCCUUCGCUUUUGUUUCAUUCCGCGCCUCUUACGCUUAACGCCCCCGCAGAAUCGCCGCUCGCGUCCGGUUUCAACAUCCUCGACGGGAACGUCACCCUGACCGUCCCCACCGUCACAACGGGGAGCGACUACAUCGUCUGCCGUGCGUACCCCAUCCAUCCCAUCCCGAUCGCCCUUCCCGCAGAUCCUGCUCCACAGAAGCCGAAGCUCACACAUGACCCUCUACCCCCGCAGUGUUCGGCUCGUCCGGGGACAUCAGUGCUCCCUUCACGAUCAUCGGCACCGACGCGUCCGCAUCUACAUCCGCGUCCGCGUCCGCCUCCACGCAGCUCAACGCAGCGUCGAGCUCGAACACGCUGCCCCCGCACCAGACGACCGACCCCUCGACGACAUUCAGCCUGCCCCACGGCGUCCCGAUAACCGGAGACCCCUCCAGUGCCCCGGCCACCAGCGCGAGUGCCUCAGCCACCGGCUCGAGCUCGAGCUCAAGCUCGACCACCGCCGUAGUCUCCGUCCCCUCGGGCGUCGUCCCCCCAUCCGGGACGUCUGCCGCCUCAUCCACCGCGACUUCGCCCAGUGCUUCAGCAACGGGGACGGGUACGUCCUCGACCGGCACGGGCACGGGUACCGCCGCCGCUAGCACCAGCACCGGCAACUCAGGCGCGCGGACGGCUGUGACAAACGUUCACUUGUGGGGUGCCCUUUCCGGUGUAUUGGCCCUCUUCGCCUUCUUGUAAGCUUAGCUUGCUCUUUUGGACUACCGACCGCGACGAACUUUUGCAAUGUCUCCGACGUGCUUGUAUACUGUAUACCAGCUUUGUAUAAGUAGCUACGAGAUUCAAUACGACUAACGCCUUCUCACGUCCCCCCACCUCACCUCCACCGCGUUUCUGCCAUUCAGUCCCGCAUCUAACCCUUUUCGUCCCAUCCGACAUGACACGCACACGCACACACACAAGCAGCGAGUUCCGAAUGCAAACAAGCCAAAAUCCAUACAAUUGCGAAUCAAUAUGCAACAAUGCUACACGCGACAACCGACGGACAGAAACGUGCGCGCCGGCGGGGACAAUCCAAUACGAAAUCCGCAGGCCGCCGCUGGGUAUAACAGUCGAUCGAACACUUCCUCUCCAACCAAGUAGCUACACCAACAUUCUACGUGCCCGCCCUAAACAUUUGCAAGCUGGGCCGCCUCUGAAUAGAUUGCGCCGCGCCGCGCUACUGUGUCGCGCACGCGCACGCUACUUCUGCACGGCCCUGCGUAUGCCGUAAAUACAACGACCACCCCGUGCUGUGUCUGUCGAUCCUCCUCUUCUCUGCUCUUGUCUCGGCCGGCCGCCCACACUGUCGCAGGCGAGCCGGUGGCGCUAUGCGCUCUUCAAUGCGACGCGAUCCCAGAAAGUCGCCUGGUCUUCUCCGCCCCACGAGGGCUAUGAACCUCGAGAGGGCGGGCUUGGACGCUCGGAACUUGACGAAGAGAUCGCGCGCCGAAGCUGCCGUCGUCGUCGAAGCCGACUACCGCAGGCCUAGUCGGGACAACGCUUCUUGGACGCGAGCAUCGAACGCCAUCGUCGGGUUGCCGAGGCGUACUACAUCAAGAGCCUUCAUGAAGACUUCAGGGCCGAAUCGUUGCGCGGCCGGUAUCGAGGAGCACAAGUAUUGGGCUGUGUCCUCGUCUAGACAGGCAAGAAUAGAUAUUGGCGGUAGCGGGAGACGAGAGGAUAAGUUGAACAAGCAAUGAAGAGGUUAGCGACACGAGAUCAGGCGGAGAUGGACAUACCAUUGGGCUCGACUGUGGAUAACCGAGAGAGGUGAACGUUCUCGCAAUCCUUGUCUCUGCAUUCCCCGCCGAUAUCGUACUGACAGAUUCGGCCUUGAGGAUCUGAAAGAUAUUUCAGUACCGCAACUUGCUUGAGCGGCUUCAGAUCAAUGUUGGAGGAUCCGGAUGCGGUCGCGUUAGACGAUGAUCCAAUUACAGCUGCAGACGAAGGCAAGUAGGCAGAGUCUUGACGUGAGUGCGCACGCAAGAGAGGAUGGCUGUCUAAGAGGGAAUGAUAAGUCACAAAGACGGGCUUCUCAUGCGUUUGCUCGUCGUCGGCGUUGUCACUGACAUCGAUCUGUAGUAGCAGUCGUCAGAACUAGCGCGCGUGCGAUCGUCUCCUUUGCGAGGAUCCCACAAAUGAACACGUACCUGAGCCGACGUCUCUGGACAUGAUCCAACGACGUCGACUUCUGUGCUCUCACUUUGAUCGCCAGUGUCGUCAGAGUCGACAGCCUGUAAAUGAAACGAAAACGAAAACAAUGGCGGAAGAAGCCGUAUCGAAAAGCGAACAAAAGAUAAUGGAUGAAGAGGAAGGGCGAAGGCCAAAAAAGGAAGACGGUUAAGCAUGGAUUCGAAUGGCCGCUAAAGGCGCGGCAUGAAAUAAAAAGACCCUUGCCGCUUGCUCUUGUUGGGCUUCAUCUGUCAAAACUGCAAAAAUAUCACCACAUAGCAGCACAAGUUAAGAAAGAGCGACAUCACCAAGCAUGCCCACAGCCAUGUAAGCACGUGAAGAAAGGCAGAGCAAUUGUUUAGUGAGUGUUGUGGAUGGCACGAGAGCAGUAAACGAUGAGGAUGCCAGCGCCGCCAAAUUUGGUAUGUCCGAGGACUUGCCUUUGUCACCUGUUGCUGGAUGCUCCAGCACCUUCGGCACAACCUCUGCAGAAACAUACACGUCAGAGAAGCACGGGACAGGCAGUACAAGAAAAAAUGAGGACCGAUUGGCGUAGGUGGGGUGCUUGUCGACUCUGCGUCUGGAAGUUGUACAGUUGCAUCCUCGUGAGGUUCUAUGGAUCUGCAUAAGCGCCACCAAUCGCAAAGUGUCCCCCUGAUGCAUCGAGCUUACCACGGAGAAGCAAGUUGCUCAAGACCGUGCGCUCAUCUUGGCUCUGGCUACCUCGCCCAGUUGAGGGAACCUCCGGGGUAGCCGAGGAACUGCUUCGUGAAGGACCAAAGGAUCGAGCCGAGGCUUGAUCCUCUUCCUCCUCCUUAAUGACCACAGAUCCAUUCGUCUGCACAUCUGAUAAUGCAGCCCCACGAGACGCCUGUCGGAUAAUCAGCUAGUGUUAACGAUCCAUACGAAUAAAUACAACGACUCACCAGCGCAAGCUUUUUCAGCCGACUUUCUUCACGUUGAGCGAUGAGCUCGCGCAUCCGGCGUAUCUGCUCCUCCUUCUCCAACAACGCUGCAGGAGUUACAAGUGGCGUUGUCGGGGUGCUGACUCGUGGUGUCGGAGCGAUAGAUGCCAGAGGAGUGUUGGCUACCGGCCCGCGGGACUCUGCCCUAGACAAGAAAUCCUGAGGGGUCGUCCCGUCCAGCUCAUCCUCAGAAUCGCUGAGGUCGAUGAUACAUCUCCGUUGAGUGAUACCUGCGAAACCAGUCGUCUUCCGUCGGACAUGAGGGCGGAAGUGGUCAGUCCGAGCUUGUGAACGGGAAGGCCCAGAAUCCAUGUCGACAAAGUCGGCAGCCACCGGCCGUUUGGUCCCUCUGCGGAUGACUGUGGACGCGGUGUCGUCCCAUGGCGAGCGAGUCUGAAAGAGACCUGGGACAAUAUCCAUGUCAUUGUCGUUGCCGUAUGAGAGAGUUCCAUCGCUACCGUCGGUGGCCGAAGGGGGUACUGAAGCAGGACGACUCGAUGUCGUUGAGAUCGCUGAAGCCGGCAGUACAAGAGUCUUCGGAGAAAGCAAGUUGGACGCCGAAGGCGACCUGGUCGUCGGUGCAGGGCGAGCAAGUGGUGUGUAAUCGGUCGUGAGGCUUCCCGACAAACCAGGCACCUCAUCGUCCACGUCCAUAUCGUCAACAGAGAAUAUUCGGGAUGGUGGCGGCUUGACGCCAAAAGUCGAUAGUGCCAUUCCAUUAGUCGAGGAUCGGACGGGCCCGAUACUAUUCAAGAAGUCGUCCACAGUCUUAGUAGGUACAACCGGACUUGCGCCGCUGCUCGAGGUAACAGGUCCCGUUGAGAGCGGCGAAAUAGUGGAGGAUGACUUCUGGGGCCGUGGCUUUCGCGACGCUAAGACCGCCUUGCGUGCAAGCAACUCCGCUUUCCGUUGCAGCUCCAUGUCAGUGAGACUUGGAGACGAUCCAUUCCCGUUGCUGGUGCUAGGUACGAAGGGUGUCGCUGUCGCUGAGAGAGACGACGGAGAGUCCAUCCGUUGAGGCCGUUGAGAAACGCUGGAUGGUUCGGGGCCCUUUGUCAUCGUGGGCAGGGGCAUGUAUGGUAACAAUCCGGUGAUAUCGAGAUUAUCUGGAAGGCGGAGGUUGAGUUCAACGAAGAUGUAGAAGAUGACCUCUCGACUGAGACCGCUGUCGACGAGGUACUCUGGAGGCACACCCCAGCCAAGUAGGUCUAGGAUAAUAUCCUUGGCCAAGUCGUACUGCGCUUGAGUCACUACGAUUAAUGGGAGAUGUUAAGUCUCGCGCAGCUAGCAAACGGUAGGCGAACUUACAAGCCAAACCUGGUCGAAUGUGAUUCUCAUCGACAACAGUUGACGCUACAGUGGGCUCAGGUGCGAAGACGAGCGCGCGAGGAACAGCAAAGCUGAGGGAGGGAGACAUCGGCUCGAUCUUGGGCUUCAGCGGUGGCGGAGGCAUCUGCGCAGCCGCCUUCUCCUGCUCGGUGACCUUGGGAGAGGUGGGCUGAGAUUUGCUCUGAGGCGUCGGUGGAGCGGUCUCGGAGUCGCUGAUCUCGCCUUCCUCCCGAGCUUGAUCGCCAUCAACGUUCAUCGGCUCUUGCUCUGAGGCGGCAUCCAGCAUCGACUGCACGGUCGGCGCAGGCGAUUCAGACGGUUGAUCUGCGGACGGUUCUUCUGAACCAUAGUCGAGCUCGAUAGAGGGGGGCGCAGGGACAAAAGGGCGGGGAAUAUGAGGUAUGUCGGCAGUAGAGGUGAGCUUGCGUCUCUUGGACUUGAGGGUGAGUAACGCUGCUGCCCUGAGUGAGGCGGCAGGGUCUUCGGCGGGAGGGGCAGCAGAGGCAGCAUUAGGGACGACUUCUGAGGCCUGCUCGACAAGAUGUGGACCAGACAUGAUGCAAGGAUGGCGGCUUACACCGCGAAACCAAGAAACAAGGGGCCGGAGACGAAGGAGGGAAUGGGUAUGGGAGCACGAUGUACGAGCGAUACGAUAAGUUCCCAGUCUGGACAAGGAAGCCUCCACUUCCUCACGCACAGACCACCCGCUCGGCGCUUACUAUACGGUUCCUUCGGACAGGCUCUAAGUACACAAGUUUCCUUCAUCUAAUCCGCACGCUCCCGCUUUCACCCCAAUGAUCCUUUGUAACGGCCCAAAUAUCUCGUGGUAGGUGUGUACAAAGCAGACUCGCGAAGAGCCUGAAGAUCGGAGCGCUCAACAGUUCGGUAACUGGAAAUGUUUCCGAGUUCGAGAGCAUCUUGAAAACGCUUGGUAUUCAGUAUGUGGUAUACCAUCUAGACUCUACUGUUAGAAAGAUAAAGGAAGUGAAAUGGGGAUAGCCCGUCCCCAUGAGCCAUGGUAACAUCAAGCUGGUACCGAAAGGGCAACAGGGUAUCGUCAGUUCAAGUUGGGUGGGUGGGCCACCGCUUUAAUCACAAGCGGGAGGAUACCUACGCGAGUGUAAAUCAGAGACCAGAAACCUCUCUCGGGGCCUGCUCACCUCCAGUGGGAAGUGGAUAUCGGGGUCGUCCCAUGGUUUUUAAGAAACCGUUGAUUAUCCCGCUAUGACCCGAAAUGCAGAUAUCUGAUCACGGAGAGUGGAUGUGAACAUUCAACAUACUCUGCAGAAGCUGUUAGAUCACACACAGGUCUCGUUAUCCAUCGUGAAAAUCCGGUCCAGGACCGCUUGCGCGCGCUGCGCAACGUGUUGCUUGGUCUCUCGUCCAUCCGCUUUCCAAAGAACAUCUUUCUCUUCGAAACCCUCCUCGAACAGGUAAACCGGGGGCGGAAACUUCUUAGCUAUAGCUAUCCUAGAUGACCGCAUAUCGCAUGUAUGCUCCCCAUUCUCCUCGCGCAGGUUCUGCAUCACGGUAUCACAUCAGUAACCACCCCAAACAUUUCAUGCGGUUACGGACCUCGAGGAUCGUAAUGCACGGAGGCUCCCCCUUGAGGAAGUCGGCGCCUUCAAAUGUUUCUUGGAAGGUGCGAAGUGCGCGUUGAAAUGGGCUUCCAUAGUGCUUCUCAGGGAGGGGGAUGCCAUGAGCGCAUUCAGCCUCCCAUGCCUCCCUCGCAGCCUUGGCUUGCCUGAUCCCGACCUCGGUCAACUCAGGGUCAGGUCCCCAAGUCAACUCGUCAUCCCCGUUGAGCUUAGACCAAUGUCUGCGCAUCGUCGACGUCAGCUGGGAUCAGCCGCACGACGCAGUGGGGGAAAGACUUACUCAUCCCAAAGCUAUCACACUUGACUGUCAGCAACGAUAUGGGCGAUGCAGGACCGGCCUACCUUCGUGCCAUAUUUCGCUUCCCCAACGUUAUCUACCAUCCGUCAGAGGAAUGCUACACGAAUUCAGGGAUGUACUGCGAUGGCACUCACGAACGCCCUGGCCGUGACGAGACAGGUAAAAUACUUUGUAUCUCGUCCCUGGCGGAGCAUGCGCAUUCAGUUCAUCUAUGCGUGCUCGGAACGUUUUCCAGCGUUGUGGCGAGUCGUCCACCAACCCGAAUCGUGGCGGAAGCUACCAAGGUCAACAUCGAUUAGUCCACGGCACAGAAUCAAGCCAGACACACUCGUAUCCCACCGCCCCGAUAGCCACACCAUCCGCCGCUGGAUCGUCUUGGGCGAAGAAGCCUGUCACGAUCUAACCAAAGUUGGUAUCAGCCAGAUAUAUCCAUAACCACUCACUGCUUAGCCUACAACGCACCGAAUAGUCUCUGUGCAUAUUUCCUGGCAUAGGUCUCCAAUUGAUCCUAAAAUGUGACGAGGGGGAGGGAAAUUCCACCAAGAAGUUUAAAAUGAAGAAGUACAGAUGCUCUUCUCAAGGCCUCGAGCAGGAUGUUGGCUUGCCUCGACACCGAAGCAAGUACCACCAGUGAGUACAAAUUUAGACAGGCGCGCGCUCCGUGUCACGACGGCACCAACCUGCCACCCCCCCCGGAGUCGACUCGAAAGCCGAUUUCCUGGUGUUCACGCGCACACGAUACAUACGAAUGACGAUUUAAGUCUCAUAAAGGAGCAGCUAUAGCUAACAUUACAUCGCCAGAUGACAGCCAUUCUACUUAUUAUGUGAGCGCCUCUCCAGUCGCCAAUGACUCCAGAACAAGAAACGAACGUCGGGGGAGGAGGACGCCAGCGCCGGCACCCUGAAACUUCUACCCAACAAAAGAAACACAUACGCGCGUUCCAGUCCGCUGAACGAACGGUGCAGAUGUACACGAAGUGCGAGAAAAAGAUGGAAGGGGGCUCUAGCGGUUGAACCAGGGGCCGCGAACCGGAUCAACUAACGUGCGGGAGUUAGUCGAGGUCCCAGGACACGGUGAGCGCGCUGGUGUCGGUGGUGCCGAGGUUCUGGAAGACCUCGGCGCUGAACACUGAGAAGCGAAUAGGUGAGCAUGUAAGCGUAGAAAACUCCGAGGCCGAAGUACGUACCAAUGUCGGUGGCAGCGCAAGAGGUGCACUCGUCCUCGACGACAGCGGUGGUCUUCUGGCCGUUGGUAGGGUUCGUGAUCGUCAGAGUCUGUGGAGGCGAGCCAGUCAGCAAAGAGGCUCUAAGCGUACUAAGUACGAAAGUCGAACCUUGCCACACACUGCCCCGUUGUCGAAGAGGGCAGCCGGGAUGGCGACGACGCUGUCCGUGGCGACGAUGGGCUGGCCGCAGGCACCGGUGCCAGGGUUCAAUAGGGCUGCACUUCCGGUACCGCUGGUAGCGCCGCUGUUGCUGUUAGAACCGCUGGCCGGGGCGGUAGCACCGUUCGUGGGCGCAGGAGUACCGUUGGCAGGGGUUGCCGCACCAUUGGCCGGGGUCGUGACGCCAUUAGCGGGGGCUGCAGCAUCGGCACCGUUACCCGUGGCCUCAGAACCGCCAGGGACUGCCCGGGGGCCUUUGGGGGGCGGUGGGGUGACAGUGGUGGCCGGGGGAGGGGGAGUGUUGUUGUUGGGAGGAGGGACAGCGUUAUUGGCGGGGGCCUUAGAACCAUCACGGACUGCCCGAGGACCCUUGGGGCCAGCGGCGUUGUUGUUGGCCGGGGUGCCGUUGGGGGGCGGCGGAGCGACGGUGGUCGGGGGAGGGGGGGUGUUGUUGUUGGGAGGAGGGGGAGUCGCCGCGUUAGGGUCGCGGUUCGCGGCGGCGGCAUUGUUGGCGUUGGCCCCGGAACCGUUACGGACUGCCCGAGGACCGUUGGGGGGCGGCGGAGUAACAGUAGUGGUCCGGGGAGGGGGGAUGUUCUUGUUGGGAGGGGGGACAGCGUUGUUUGCGGGGGCCUUAGAACCGUCACGGACUGCCCGAGGACCGUUGGGACCAGCGGCGUUGUUGUUGCCUGCGGCGCCGUUGGGGGGCGGCGGAGUGACAGUGGUGGUCGGGAGAGGGGGAGGGUUGUUGUUGUUGUUGUUGGGAGGAGGAGUCGCUGCGUUGGCCGGAGGUACCGCGGGGGCGUUGUUGGCAGGGGCCGCAGAGCCGCCACGAACCGCCCGAGGACCGUUCGGACGAGCCGCAUUGUUGUUGGGGCGGGCCGCGUUGUUGUUGGCUGCAGCGCCGUUGGCAGGCGCCGGAGUCCGGUUGUUGUUGGGGGGCGGGGCGUUGUUGUUGUUGUUCGGGGGAGGAGGAGUCGCAGCCUUGGCAGGUGCCGCGGCGCGGUUGGGGGCAGCGGCGCCGUUGUUGGCCGGGGGGCGUUGCGCAACGGGUAAGGCAAACGCGGUCGCGCUCAGAGCCAAGAAGAUGAAUGAGGAGAACAACAUGUUGAUCGAAGAGGAAAGUUUGAAGUGAAACGAUGACCUGCACCAAGGAUUUGUAGUAUGAAAAGCUGGGUUCUGAAGUCAAGUACGAACUGGAGGAGUAUGCUGAAGAAUUUGCCAGCCAAACCGACUGCUCUUUUAUACCUGAGCCAACCUACCUGGUCGCCAUAUGAUACGGCAUCCGAGCUUCUCCAGUACCCGCUCGCUCUCGGGGCCCGACGCUAGUCGUACUGUGUAACUAGAGUCUUGGGGGCCGAUGUACGGAGUACCCAGGCGCCCGCAGCUGCGCAGUCGCUGGAAGCAUAGUAUGUCGUCAAAACUGGGCAAACGACGAAGGAACAUACUGCGGCGGCAGGACAUACCGGGCUUUGACUAUGGUCACAAUGGACCGCAGUGAGCUUCCUGACCUGCUGUGCAGGACGUGCAUGGUAGAGGAUAUGGUCGCAAACACAAAGUGCCGGUCCGUGGUCUCGGAGAAGGCGAUGUAGGUACAAACUUGUCAAGUUUUCCAUCGCUAAUAAUUGGCCGGGGCAGCAGAACCUAAGCUGUAGGCGACGGCACAAUGUUCAAGCGAACUCUAAUGUCAAGCUUCGAGCCUCGAGAGACGGUUGGAGGCCAACACAGGUACUCGCAAUGCUGGUUAGGAUGAUUGUGUCGAUCCUCUUUUCUGCGUACUAGGUUAGACCAUAGCUAACUGCGGAAUGAGCUUAAACUAACCUAUUAAUAGUGCUCAGACAGCAUAGCGUAGUCUUCAUGCUCGAGAUGAGUUUGGGGCUAUGGUUUGCGAUGGGAUUGAGGGGAAGGCGUCAUCAAGCGCCCCCGCUCGAACGGACACCGCCACUGCGCGUCAGCUCCGUUUUUCCCCGCGUGCACCGGCCAUCGCAACGAAACGGUCCCACUGAUACUGUACCGUCCCCCUCAUAACGUUCCACUCAUAUUCCACAAAGUCUGCCCAGGAGCUCGCUCGGACUGUUUCUUGGUGCAAACGGGGACUUUGUUAUGAGGUCCGAUGUGUGCGAUGAGGGAUUCUCGCCGAGCACCUUCGAGGAAAUUCUAGAAGGUAUCGAUGAGCAGCCGCAGUGGCAAUACAUGAUGUUUGCCCAUUUGCAAGUCUAAGUCUUCAUCCGAGCUGCACUGCAGCACCCGACUACACACUUUGCCUCUCCCUCCCGUCUACCUCUUUCGCCACGCACCAUGCCACUCAACUACUCCAAAUGGGACAAGCUAGAGGUGCGUCUGCUACACACUCUGUCGCACAUCCAUAGCUGACAUCAUGCGAACGGGGGUAGCUCUCGGAUGAUUCCGACAUCGAGGGACAUCCGAAUGUGGACAAGCGAUCUCUCAUCCGGUACGCAUACACCCCGUCCCAACUCUUCCCAACCGACUGACCGGAUCACGCAGAUGGAAACAGCGUGCGAUUCACGAGGAGCGCGAGGAGCGCAAGUUCCACAUUACCCAGCUCAAGGCGGACCUCGCCGUCAACGACGUCUUGAAGCCCCGGCUCGCCGCCAUCGCGAAAGAGGUCGAGACGCAAGGCCCGCCGCACUUCUCUUCGCUCGUCGAACGGUUCCAGACUAACCCGUCGCCGGAGCGGCCGCCGACGAAUGCCCCAGAGCAGAAGACCUAUGAUGAGAUGCUGCUCGCGCUGAUGCUGCAGGUGUGGGAGGAGGCGAAGAAGAAGGGCGUGGAGAAGGACGAUCCGAAGCUUGGGGAUGCGUUGGUGGAUGGCCUUAAGGCUAGUAUUGUGAGGAUUGACGAGCACCAAGAGAAGAUGCGGAAGGACCUUGCUGCGGCCGAAGAGGAGAUGAAGAAGAAGAUCACGUCGGAGGAUAUCCACGAGGGGUUCGACUCGAAGGUGAGUGAUGUCAUCAGAGAAGGAUUUCAUGUCUGUGGCACGCGCACACCCGUCGACCGAAUGGUCGUGACGAGUUGUAUCCAUGGAUCGGAUAUGGCGAAUCACACCGUACGUGAGGGCUCCGAAGAUAGCCUCGCCACCGCGCUACCGGGGAUGAACGUGUUGUCGACACCUUCCCGUGAGUCUUCACGCUAAUCCCAAUUCUACACCCUCUGCAGUACGUGCCACCCAAACCUGCACCGCCUCCCGUCAAGAACGCCAUCCCCUCAGACAAGCCAAAAAAGACCGUGGCGGAAUUCGAGACGCUCAACCCCAAGGGCGUCGCCGCUGCCCCCUUCGACCCCGAAGCCUCCUCAUCCAAAGCCCCCGCAAAAGACGACGACACCGAGACAGACGACCUGCCCGAGCUCACCCCAUCACUGGAGCAGUUCUCACACAUCCCAGUCCGCGCGUACGAGCAGUCCUGGGAGUUCAUCAAGGCGCACCGCGACGUCUAUGUUCCCGGGGCGUCCGACGCGCUUCUCGUCGCGGCGUUCCGCGCGCAGAGCGACGGGAAAGCGAAGUGGGCCCUUCAGUGCGUGCAUCAGAGCCUUCUCCUUCAAUACUGCGACAAGCUUGGGAAGGACGGCCCUUCUAUGUUCUUCCGCAAGUACGUACAGCGCCCUUCGCGUGCCUCCCUCUAUCCCCGCGCUAACGUAUUUCGCCGCUUCCGCUUCCCCUCCGCGCCACGUAGGAUGAUCGCGAGCGACCCGCGGGCGACAGGUGUGUUCGAGAAGGACGUCGCGGACACGUACGCGCACCUCGUCGAGCGCGUGCGCGUGUCCAAGGCCGAGGAGGAGGCCGCCGCGAGCGGGGAGCAGAUUCAGCUCGUCGCGGAGAACCCGGACACGCAGAUCGGGUUCAACGUGCCCGACGGGCCGCCCCCCGAGCAGCUCCAGCUUGAAGGGCCUGGGUUCGAGAACGUGAGCAUCGAGGAGGUCCGCAAGGCGCUCCAGAUGCAGUGGGACAUCUUCUCGGGCUUCGAUGAGCGCCUGCAGGAGGCGCUGAAAGCCCAGAGCCUGGAAAAGGUGAACAAGGUGCUGGGCGCGAUGAACGUCAAGGAGGCGGAGGAGGUUGUGAGGCUUUUGGACAUCUCCGGCAUUCUCAGUUUCUCGGAGGGCGGCAUCCGGGACGAGACCGGCAAGGGCAAGGGCAAGAGCACAGAGGCGGAUGAGGACGGGGACGACGAGGGUGGGGACGACGGUGAAGACGAGGACGGUGCGGAGGAGGUCGACUGACCUUUGACUCUUGGUGGUGUGAUGACGGUUAUUCGGUUCCGCGCGGAGGUAUGAGAAGUCAAGUACUGUAAUCUACUGCGGUGUACUUUGUAUGAUGUGGCCCUGAGCCACGGUCCUUACCAAGGUCCAUUGAUGAUGAUAUUGCAGACGCGCUCAUUGAGGGACCACAUGCGACCACCUUAAGGACAUGAAGACCGUCAGAUACCCGGGUUAUGCUAUCUUCUAGGACGUUUGUGGUGGCGACAGCGAACAACAGUAAGUGAACAGUGCGUUCACGCAGCACGGCAAAAGCCAGGCGGAAGCACUCCAUGUUAUUCCUACUCUGCUUUGCUUCUUGCGUUAUCUGUAAGCUAUUGAAGACACAGACAUCUGUACGCUUCCAAGACGGCUGCUUUUAAGAUUUGCUUACCUAGAGAGAUGACGAUGAUCUGCGGAAUCCCGAGGAGGGUGCGAUAGUGGUGCGGGCGUGUGCGGUCCCGGUCAAGUACCGAUACUUACUUAUGCGGUGUGUGGAAUGGAGAAGCCUGGGCCGCGUUGUUGACCAGGCACCCGAAUUGCUCUGUCUUUUCCCAAAAGUUGCUCGGGUAGCGACCAACCCUUGCGGUGCGCUGUGGGUACAUACUGUACACGUGGACAUUUACCAGAUCUCAGUCAGACGCCAAGAAGGAUCGAGUGCGCAGCAUGGUGGAAGAUGGUGGAGUGCAAUCCUGUGCCAUCAAGCGGGUGCAUGCGCCCGGAGCGAUGGGAGAGAGAGAUGCCCGCUAUGCCUGGCCACAAUAUGGCGAAGAGGUUGAGGAUGCUGCCAAUUCAUGCAGAGGUGGGGCCAAGGCGCCUGAAGUCGGUGGAAGGCACGAGAUUAAAGGGAUGAUUGCCGGAGGAGCAUUUGGGCGGAACGCGCAGAACAAAUUCAGAUCCCACUUACGUCGAGAUGACCAUCGAGGGCCUGAAACGGCAGGAGGGAUGAGGACCCCUGACAAUAGGUGGGGAGGCUGGAUCCGGUUUUGCCGAAAGGUGCCCAAAACAUCCGGAUUUUUUUGGUGAAAUUUGGGCUCAAACAUCUGGAUUUUUUCCAGGCUCGGCCCCCUUUGGGGGCCGUUUAUCCGGAUUUUCGAACCGGCCUGCGGCCGGUUCGCCUAUAUCUGGAUAGCCUGAUCCAGCCCUCAAAAACACGACUUUUUUCUCCAGAUAGCAUUAUAUAGGCAUCACAUAACAUAGAAUCUGCCUUGGGUCCAUACAAGAGCCAGGAGAGUUGGUUCCGUACAUCCCUUUGCCUUGCCCAACCCAGUCGGACGACCUCGAGUGGUGUAAAAUGUAGAUCAUGGUCAUUAUUGGCAUUGACACCGACUCGGACAGCCGGGUGAUUGGCCAUGAAGACAUCUGAGAUAGAGAUGACAACUUUGCUGUGCUUUGCGUCUCUUUACGAGGUUCAGAAAGAAGUCAUAAACCAACGUAUUCACACGCUAGAAUACUAACUGAACAAGCAUAGCGUAUAACCUGUUUAUAAAUAACAAUUAUAAUGACAUACUUUUGUUACCAGGGCGCCUUUGUCUCUCAUGGUCAACCGAAUUGACCUACAUAAGCAGGCCAGUGGCAGGCCAUCGGCGCUAAAGGGGGGCAUGUCCGGACAACUGAUCCGCCAUCCCACCAGUUUGGCUGGGGGUUCCGGACAAAGUUUUCCGGCCUCGGGCCCCAAACGGCCCCCAUAUAUCCGGAUCAGAUCCGGCAUUGAGGGACCAAAACGGCCCAAAAUAUCUGGAUAUACGAUCCAGCCUCCCCACCUAUUGUCAGGGGUCCUGAGGGAUGGCGCGUGUUGUUGUAUCACAGACUCAUCCCCACACUGUUCCCGCCACUGCAACGACGCCGUGAAAUAUGGAUGGCGUCCCAUGCGAAUCUCUUCAUUUCUCCUCCGCUCCCUCAUUCCCUCCGCCGCUCCUCCCUCCGCCGCCGCCCGUCUUGUCCUCCUUGUGGCCUCCAACCCGAGCGAUCACUAGUCCGCCCGACUGUCAUCCAACGUUAAGCUCGAACGCGUUUUGCAACAGCACGCUGCCUGCUUCCCCCCCGUCUGGGACCGUCAGACGACCUUAAAAUCCUCUUCCCCUGCACACCCGACCGACUUCGAAUCUCCGAAGCCUCCUCCCUUUGGAUGUAUACAAUCCCGUUUUAACACCACAAAUUCCAAUGUACCUGCCGCCUACUGUCAUAAUCCCUCACAGGCCUCAUCUUCGCGUUUCCUCUUCUUCCUCCCCGUCAUGCUAGUCUCUCCUGCCCCUACACAUCUCAGGAAACAGCCCGCUCGCCCACAGCCGGAACAUUCAACCCCCCGGCGCGGCCGCGCGAAUAGCACAGGUGCAACGAUCGUCGAGAGCCAGAAAGACGCAAUGCCGUCAAGUCCGCCUUUACCGCGACUUCCGCAGGUCCAGCAACCGGGACCAAGCACACCCCUUCCUCCUCUCCCUCCCCUCAAGAAUUUUGGUAGUCCCGGCGACAUCCUCAACCGCCCCAUCUCGGGCAAACGCAAGCUGUUCCGCUUCAAACGUCCCGCUACCGCCAAUGCCGACUCCCGCCCCGUCCGCGAACCGGAGCCGCCCAAUCGUCAUAAGCACAGCGCCAUGAGCUUGAGCGCCUUCGACGUUAACCCCCCUCUCUCCCCCUCGGCCCCGCCCAGACCUCCUCGAAACCCAGCGCGGAUCAACGUCACUAUGCGACCAUCCUCCUCAGGCGCGCCCUCAUCCAAGUCGCCGCGGCUCCGUGUGCCCGCGGAUGAAGAGAGGCAGUCCCAAAGACAGAAACUCUCGGGAGACGCUGCUGCGGACUGGGAGUUCCCCCUACCGGUAAGCAUCUCCUCCCGUUAGCCUUCUCGACGCCCCGUCCCGUCCUCUCCCACUCCAUCCCACUGCACAUCGUCGCGGCAGAUGGCUGCGGAGCCUAUCCUCGGCACUUACUGACGUCAUCCGUGCUCUUUGUGCUGCCCGUAUCGCUUCACGCGGGGACCCGGGACGGGAUGCACACAGCGCGGAUCCGAGUUCCCGCUGCAGCGGAAGAAGAGCAAGAGCCGCCGCUUCGACUCGUCGCAGAUCACGCAGGACGAGAGCGCGAAGAGCGACGUGCAGUUCUCCACCGUCGACCGCACGAUCCUCCAGGAGCUCCGGCAGAAGAUCCGCGCGCGAGAGGACCAAUUCAUCACCCGGAGCGGACGCAAGUAUCACGCGUUCGCGCCGGGGGACGUGCCCUAUCCCCGGAGCUACGAUAGGCAGAUGGUCGAUAUGUGAGUUGCUUGGCCGCCUGCCCCUUUUUUAUGGCGUCGGAAACCGGAGAUUGACGCCAUGUAGGGAUGUGUGGGAUGAUUUGUGGCAGCUGCAGUUGGGAGGCAGCAUCACGAUGCAUGUCUUUGAGACCCCUCCGGCGCGAGUGUGAGUGAGAUUCCCUGCGGUUCGCACGGGAGAAGAACUAACGUCAUAGCCCUCCAGGCUCGAUCUAGGAUGCGGUACGCUUACUUGACCCGUGUCUUCGUUUAAUUCACAAGGCUAACCGACCUUCAGGAACCGGGACGUGGAUUCUGAACGCGGCUCGGGAAUGGAAGGUGGGUCAUUUAAAACUGCUCAUUAUUGAAGGGUAGAUGCUUAAGCACCCCGGACACAAUGCAGACGUCUUACUUCGUCGGUUCGUGACAUUCGAUUCCGGGCAACGUGGCCGCGUUUCCUAACGUCUAGCGCAGGCUUGGACGUGGUUCCCUUACAUCCGGACUUAUUACAAGUGGGAUCCUUUGACCUCGCGGCACGGAUAACGUGGGUGCAGGGAAAUUUGUGAGUGAUUUUCUUGUUUCUGACCGCAUAUACCGCCUCCGCUGUCUCGUGAGCCCGAGCUCUUGUUUUCAUAUGUCUGUAUGUUGCUCGUGCCCCCCCCCCCCCUUCCGCCCUUUUCGCUGUUGACAUCUAGAGCGAUAUCAUGCCUUGCAUGUUACCCCCUGUACUUGCAGACAAUCGUCUCAGUCUAUGGCUUGCACAUGGCUGUGUAACGCCUCCCCUCCAUCUGUCUCCUCCGAUAGCCUUGUUUGCCUUUCUGAGUCGUACUCACCGGUGAUGUACCAGCCUGGAGAGCCUCCCCUUCCCGAAUGAGGAAUUCGACUACGUGUGAGUAUAUAUUCAGCGCAACGUCUCGGACGGCAUUGAUGAUCUGAAUUACGUUGAACCACAGCCGGGUCACUCGAGUCGCCCGUGGCGUUCCCGAGGACAAGGUACGUUGUAUGCGAGAUCUGCGAUCACUCCAUUACUCUAUUGACACGCAUGCAUUCCAUAGUGGGACACCUUGUUAGAGGUACGGCACCGAGUUGUCUCCACCUACCAUUUUGCGCCGACCCUGACCAUGUGUUCCCCGAUAGGAAAUUACACGUGUGAUGAAGCCUGGUGGCGCUUUCGAGGUUCGUCAUUCUUACCUUUUGUGUAACGAAUCUGUAUUGGAGAUCUGACAUGACGAGAAGAUGUGGGAGGAAGAUCUGCUCUUCCCCGGACGCCGGGGUGAGAGUGUCCACAUCAUCGACUCCCCGGACCCGAUGCGCCCGCCAACACCGCCCAAUACGGACUCGUCGCACUCGUGCGAGCAGGAGAGGUUACCGCCGUCGGCAUAUGCGCCUCCGUCAGCGCGUUCGCUAGCCUUCAGUUACUCUUUAGAUGACGUCACGCGAGUGAGAGGAAAUGUUGCUGGAGAUUCCAGACGUCUACUGCAUCCUUCACCGUCCAGUCCCAAUGUUGCACACACGCCCGUUCUGUUGCGCAGCGUCGAACGAACCCCCAUGAAUCCUCACGACCACUCGUUGCUCGAAACCAUCUACAACGAAAUGCACGCCUCCCGAUUUAUCAACCUGGAACCUGUCUCCCUGAUUGCCAAUUUACUCCCGUUACACUUUAGAGGUCGGUAACCGAGCAUUCAAGCAUUAAGCAUCUGACAUGUCACUGACUAGAAGUCUUCCAGAUGUCCGAGCCCCUCCUCCCAUAGUCAUCACAUUCCCACCUCCCCCCACAUCCGUUCCCGAUCAACGACCCGACCCUUUUCCGAAAAAGACUGACCGAAUCGUAGAUUCAGAUUCUGAUGUCGAGGAGCCCUACCAUACCGAAAGCCCAACGGAGGUCGCGUCCCUCACAUUCCCACAACUCCCUACCGUCCUGCACGCGCGCGAUGUGGCUGGUGGGACGCCCUUCAUCGCGCUCGACGCAUCGAGAUUGGGUGGCCUCUCGCCCUCAGUUAUUCGGCGAGCGACUAUCCCAUCCGCCAGCAGUGACAAGGCGGCACAGGCCCGGUUUGCACCCGCCAGCCCCCCAUCCCCAAUGUCUUCCAAGGGUCCCAUCACGAUGUCAAAACUGACAGCCCGUAUGGUUGCCACUCGAAACCCGCUCCCGAACAAGACCAUCAACUUCGACCCUCGGUCGCUCAACUUGCUUCUCAUGCUGCGGGUCAACGAGGUGUUGGGCUGUGCAGAGCCAAUGUGGGACUGGGUGGUGGAUUUCCAGGAGAGCGUAGCGCAGACCGCGAAGGCGUCGAGGGGCAAGGGAGGUGGAGGAGGAGGAGGAGGGCCAGGGUCCCCGAUCAUGUCUGAGCACAUUACGCUGCGCUCAAAUCGCCGUCGCCGGCAUCCGAAACAGGAUGCGCUCGUGAAUCUGACGAGAAUGGACUUCAAUGACCUGAUGAGACGCUUCGAGCUGUGAGUCGCCCCUUCCCCCGCUUCGGCUUUGGCAGGCGGCCCCCUGGUACUCGGCUCUUAUCACGAGAAGCCGUGCGCCAUGGGGCCCAAUGUCAGAGCUGCUCCACAACACUGCCUCGAGAAGCGAGUACUGACAUCUGUUCUUGCCAUCUCCGUCUGCUUCCUGCCCGCAGAGACAUGAAGGCGCGCAUGUACCUCGGCCCAGCGCUCGAAGACCGCCUGGGCUGGCCGUCCUACCCCGCCACCCGCACUGAGGAGCGCGACAACUUCGAGGCGAUGUGCGCCGCGUGGGCCGAGUACGAGCAUCGUCGAGCACACGCCGCGAUGGCCACUGGCACGUCUGGCCGCGCACGCGCGUCCUCAAACCCCAAACACAGCCCGUCGCCCCCUCCACCCCUGCCGACCCCUCGCAACAGCAAUGUGUUCGAGGACAGCGACGCCACACUGCGGAGGCGUCCCGGGCCGCCGGCGCGCCCCCGUACGUCCCCUGCGUUUGGUCAGAAGACCGGCGUGGACACGUUCCCAAUCCCAUCGGGCACAAACGGGGUCUUGCGACAUGCGGGCGAGCCAGAGAAGCUUUUGCCUCUGCCCCUGCGGCCGCACGGCAGGCCUAGUACGGCGACCUCGACGACAUCUCAUAGGCCCAGUACCGGCACCUCUACGAAUUCUCGUCGGCCUAGUACGGCCACCUCGAUGACGUCCUAUCGCCCUAGCACCGCGACUUCUGCGACGUCAUACAGGCCGAGUACUGCAAACUCGACGAAGUCGCACCGACCCAGCACUGCGAACUCGACCAUGUCGCAUCGACCCACCACCGCGAACUCAGCUACGUCUUCCCGUUUGUCAGACCCAGAACCAGAAAGCCCACCCAGCAGCCGGACCGGACGCAUCUUCGUUGCUUGGAAAGCAAACCAAUAGUCCCGAGGGAGAAGAAGAGAGAGUGAGAGAGCCCGUGGCACGCGUUUCUCAUCCUCCGCCUUGCCCUUCGUGCGGUCUAGUUCCCAGUCUACCUCCACCUCCCCCGGUGUUGGGCCGCACCAUGUAUGGGGCCGCUGAUCAUUCUGCUGCGGUGCCGCAGAUUGCGUCCGUCCCUCCCGCUUACGUUCGUCCUUCCCUGGCGCCGCCUGCUCGUUUGGUGCCCUCGUCGGAGUGGGAAGGCCACCGCCAAGGGAACCCACACGCUGCAUCUGGACCUUUCGACGCGGACGCUCCAUAUGCGUCCGAGCGCCGCCGCACGCUCGUUCCACGACUCUGGGCCCAACCGUGCCUCCCCUCUCUCUCUCUCGCUUCCGUGCUCAUGAACGUGAACGGCAACAAGGCAGGAACGGGCGCCCCUUCAUGAUCACCCACCUCCAUCGUCCGGCCACGAUGUGUGCGAGCUGGCCGUGGCGCGAAUGCAGCACCUCGCCGCGGCACGCGAAGAUCCCGGUCGAAGCUGAUGCCGAUGUGUGGCCUGACAUACAUACGCACUCCGCCCGUCCGUUCGCUUCGCUCCAACAGGGGCCUGCCCGGGUCUAACGUGCAGACGUCUCCGUCGCCGUGGUCGACGCCGCCCACGCGCUGGUGCCGGUUCGGACCUAGGCCCCAGAUCCAGUGCGGGGCUCCCGCGCAGGAUCUAUCUGCGUGCGUGCGUGCCUCCCGGCGCGGCGGGUUCCCCUGCUUCCCUUCGCGCGGUUCGCGUUCUCAUUCGACGCUUCGGGGCUUCGGACGGGAGAUGCGCGCGCGAUUGGAGGACAGUCUGGGGCGUUCGCAUGGACGCCGCCGCCACGGCCCGCGCUGUCGCCGCUGCAUUCCUUCUUUGCUACCCACCCCUCCUGCACAUGGGCUCUGAGCCGCCCGACGUACGUUCUUGCGUUCGUUGGGACUGGGAUCACGCUCUUUCAUUGGAUGAUCUCUCCGUUUUUCGUUCGUUCUCGCCGGAUUUUUUGAACCUUGUUGUUUUAGUGUUAUUGCCACGGACCAUCUAUGUUGCUUAUCUGUAUGUUCUGUCGGCGUAUGUGUGUAGCAUCAGCGUUGGUGUGCUUCUGACCAUUCAUUCGUCUCCUCGCCGUGUGGUAUUUGUUUUUGCCGCAUAAGUAUAGCGUAACUUAUCCUGUACUAUGCCAGUUUUCACCCUCCUCCAUUCAUUCCGUAUCUCCGCUUCGCGUCCUCUCUCUCCCAUGUUGUCGUGCUAAAGCCUGUACACUCAUUCGCCUCUUCGCUUUUUACCAGCCAAUCACGUCAUAACUCUGCCCAUACAUCCGAGCUCGCCGGCAAAUGAAGUCGCAAGACCCGGGACCUGUGCUCGUCUCAGAGUACUAGUCCGAGUCGUACUACACCGUCCUUGGCGACCGGGUUGUUCAUCAUCGACCACGCCUCGAUCGCCGCCAGGCACCACCACCAUAUCGAGCGAGUCCACUGCCAAACCCGGGAGGGGGAGCGCGUACACAGCUCAUCUCGAGGGCCCACGCCCCCCCAGCGAGGUCGGCUAGAAGCCGCGCUUCUCCGCUCUAACCUGAAAGCGCGUGUUCAAGACGUUCAUAACGUUCAUCUCCCACCGGCGGGACUGCCACCGUGUAGUGCUAGUGACGUCGCCGGUGCCCUUUCCUGGCCUGCGCUAUACCCAACGUGCGGCCCUCGCGAUCGCUUCGUCGCCGUCCGGAAAUGGUGCUGGGCGGCCCAUAUAUGGGCAGGAAGGUUCGCCGGAGUGGUUUGUCGGCGGCGGCUGCGUGAGGCCUGAGCGGUGGCUGCACACCGGCCACGUACCGUGACGUACAUACGUACGUACUUGGGUCAUAGGUUGGCGUUGGCGCGUACGUACAGUAUGCAUAUGCAUAUGCAUGUGUGCCGGCCGCAGCGGCUUCGCCACGAUCCUGCGGCGAGACGCGUACGCAUGUGCACUGCAGCGACCUCUCAGCGACGACUGUCACUGGUACGUUUAGCCCCUAUGCUACGAUGAUCCGGAACGUGAGGACGAGACGAUGGAGGGAGGCGAUCGAGCCUUCAUGAAGCCUGAUCAUAAGAGGCAGCUGGAACUUGGAAGACGCACAGCGGCACGAUCAUCGUGCACUAGUCCACACAGGUACGGUGCUAAAUAACGGUGACUUGAUGUUGUCCUCUGGUGCCACCCACUUGGCCUACUUACUCAUUGACAAGGCGCUCCGUUGGAGACUAGAAUUCGGGGGUCAAUUUAGGGUGUCACGCUAAGGGUGAAAGUGUACGCAUUUGCAUCCCCCGCCCACCACACAAGGGACCUGUGCUGUGUGCUAAAUGCUAACUGACAUAUCUUGGAGUUUGCAACAGAACAAGAAGAACAUCGACCCGACGACGGAACAUGGUGGUCCUAAUGCGGCCACGACAAGUGGACGGCGAGGGGGCCUUUCCAAUGUCCAAUAUCCGGGUCGUGACUGGCCCACAUACCAUCCGUUUAAUCGCUGUAGCGAAUGCAGGGAAGCACGCUAGACCGCACCACCUACUUGGGCUCCGUACGCGUACGUCCCGACUCCCUUGGGCCUCGGGACGACAGCAGAGUGCCGGCCCAACUCAGGCCCGAGGUCUCAGACUCGUAACGUUCGCGGAACGCGGGACUGACACCGACAGUGCAGGCCACGCAGCGCAAAUGAAAUAAAUGAUCAUCGCAUGGCCCCGCGCGCAAACAGCAAACGUGAUCAGCGCGCCAGCCCGCGGGAGCGUUCCAUCGGACGUUCGAAUUCGGAAUCCCGCACAGUGCUGGUCUAUGGCCAGACAGUGGUUAUUUGAAACCGCUCGACUCCGGGCGUGCGGUACGCUAUCGCGCGCGACGCAUUGGGCCCGGCCGGCCUUCGAUGCAUGCAUCAAUGUAUGUAUUGUACUUACGUACCGUCGCGACAGGCGCGACCCCGUCUCCCCUCCGCGCGCGUUCAAAAUCCGCGCGUACGGUACGGUAGGUACGCUCGGUCGCUCGGAGCGGUGGCCCCGAGCAAACCCGCAUAUGUAAGUGUAUAUCGUGAAUCGUGAUCGCAGGGCGGACUGGGCCGGGCUCGCCGCCGCCGCCGCCGCGUCGACGCGUGUGUGGGCCCGCGGGCUCGUGCGCCGCCGCCAUGCCCAGGAGAGGUACGACAACGACGGGCGUCGAUGAUGAUGGGUCCCGCGACACUGAGACUCCGCGAGGGCGGGCAGUGUGGCUUCUGGACGCGCGAGUGUGCAUUAUUGCGUCAUCCCAUCAUUGCGCGAAGCGGUUCCUUCUGCCGCCCGCGAAUGUUCCCCGUUUCAGCUCGGACCUGCGACGGUUGUAUUAGGGCGCAAGCGUCGGGUACUUAGUUCAUAAUUAUUGUGCAUACAUACGGCGACAUGAGAAGCGUUGAUGUCCAGGGCCGCACGCUGGGCGAUGUCGCCUUGAGCUCGCGUCGUCGCCGCCGGUGCAUGGUAGGUCGCCGUAGGCUGGCGUAGGUCACCGUACGAGUUCUCGCCAUCAGUCCGCUAGUCCCCUGGUGGCGCUGGGGACGUAGUGCGGAUAAUGAAGGGGAGGUUGAACGUUGAACAGGCGAGACGCGGCCUGAGGCGGCAAAUGGGCGAACCACCGGGUGUGGGUGAUACAUUGCGGGCCGUUGCCAGGGCGACCGUGGUCGGCGGCUGAGCGUGAAGAGAAGAGCGAGAGGGGGACGCGUGGCUCGAAGUCGUCCGCGUCCGUCAGGCCAUGGCCACGUCCAUGGUCCAUGGCUGAUGGCUGCUGGUGCCGCGGCGGGUGGGGCGCGAAGGGGGCGUUGUACUUAGUUGGCAGCCAGACUCUGGGCAGGACCUGUGCGAUUUGGACGGAGGCGAAAAGGGACGCGGGAUGGUAGCGGGAUGCGGGUGACACGAACAAGAGCCCCGCUGCCUGCCAAAAACCGUCAUCGAGGGCGAUCGAUGGCGGGCGGCUCUCUGACAGCACAAUGGAGCUCUGCUUUCGGCGGCGUGGGCCCCUUUCCCCUUUCCUCCUUGUUAUGUAACGUCUACCGACUCGUCCACUCAGAUUGCUCCCGCCAGACGUGAAUUCAGAACAACGCCCGGUGUCCCUGGUCGACCCGGUGCGCGGGAGACUCUGCGCUGCUCUCUGUCCUGUGUGUGGUUGCUUUGUGCUCGUGCGAGCACGCGCACAGACGAACAAACGGCAACUUAGCGGGCACUCCGCCUUCGGCCCAACUGCACGAAAGGAACGCAGGCUCAGGGCCCUUCCUGCCUUCGAACCGUAGCAGGGGACUGAUGGGACGCGAAACGCAGGCGGCACCGCCAGAAAAGGCAUUUGGAGAAGCCGAAGGCUCCGAUAGUUCAAGGAGGCUGCUGCAGGCGGGGAACCGCCGGUGCUGCUUGCACGCAGGCAUGCCAGCCGUAUUGCCGUCUCCGGCUUAGAGUGGGGGCGAGCUUCUUCCGUACGAACGCGUCCGGCAAGCCGGGCAGCGCGACGCGAUCCGCCGCCGCGGCGCCGUGAGUAUGCCACCCGAUGCCACCUUGCACCAGGCCGAGCGGCGACAGCGCGGCGGCGAAGACGGACGAUGGCCUGCCGUGCGGCCCUGCAGCCUGCAGCAAUAGGCAGCAUCCCGGCCGCAUGCGGGCCUAUGACGUAGUGUGGCCUGUGGUUUUUUUCUCCCUCUGCACCCUCCUCCCUCGCUGGUGCUGCACCGUCUCGAUCCCGGACUCGAGCGAAUCCGAAGGGAGGCCUGCGGUAAAACGGGAGCGGGUGUGAGCUAAGUGCGUGAUAACGAGGUGCCAAGCGUGGUCACCAGAGCACUGCGCGAGAAGGGUGGGGUUGCGCAGCCAACCGGGCUCGAGCUGCUGGGGCGUUAGCACGGCGGAGUGUCGUAAACGGCGGGGGCACGCAGGGCAGCGGCAGGCAACGGGCAUGGUAAUGUCGGAGAAGCUUGGCGGACGAGUGGCCCAGCGACGUAGCGACUGCGUCGUCGAUGGGACGGACGGGGGAUUUAUACGAAGGCCGAGGUGUGAAGAAGGCCCGCCCAAGAGGGGGCAGUCUGAGAACGCUGCACGAGGCAGGGCACUAUUUCCCGGAGCGUCCGAGCCUCGACCGUUGGCGGACGUGAGUAUGCGCACAUCUAUACUGAGCUCAUGGAAGGGAUCAGCGCAGGUCUCUGUGGCUGACGGCCGAAUCACGCAAAUGGACCCACGGAAUCACAGUGAACGGGAGCCCGGUGCAUCGGAGGGGAGGAAAUUACGGCAAGUCAGCGGGUGGAAUGAGGCGGGUUCGGAGGCGAGGGCGCAUCUCGACCCGCUGAAUUAUCUGAGACCCGGAUCAAAACGCAGGCGGAGACGAGGGCGGGGCGGGGAUCAAGCACAAGGCCGACAACGAUGAUGCUUGCCCAGCCGGAAUGAGCUUGAGCGUGUGCGGGGCGAGUCUAGAUCUGGGUGGAGCGGGAAGACGACUCGGAUUGUCUGUGGCCUGACUCUGUGACGACGAAAGAGGGCCAAAUCGGGCACGGGGGCAGAGAAGGUGUGCGAUGGCAGACGGGCGGAGAGGUUUCAAAUGCGGUGUGUCAGCACCGUUAUGGCAAUUGAAGUUGGCACUGCACCAGGAUUCCGAGUCCGACGCUGACAGAAGCUCCGGGUAUGCGUGUGGAUGAUGGGUGACAGACUGAAUUCCUGCGACCGUUGGUGGCAGUCUGCCUGCGCGGGUGGGGCGGGGAGGGGGUGAGGAGCGUGCGAUGGGACGAGGAGGGCAGUCGCUGCUGGGACGCGCGGGCGGGCAAUCUGGGCGUGCUCUGCAACUCUCAGUCGCCGCCGCCGUGCUCCCCCCGGCGAGAACCUCGGACCCAAACGGGUUCCCGCCGCAUAAGGAAACAAACUUACCCCAUCCGGCGCGAAGCUGCGUAUGACUACCGCGGCCAAGUAUAGCACCAUUUGAUUUGUGAUCCCUCCCCUCCUUGGCCGCAUAUGGCCCUCCGCAGCGUCCGCUCCCCGCUUGCCAUGCGCGGGCCGCGUGUGCUGGCGGCUGGGCGCGUGCGCACACCAAGCGGUGGUCGCAGAGGGCGCGCGGGGGAGUGGACGGGGGAGGGGGCAGAAGAGGUGGCAAAGUGGUCGCGAGCGGAAGGGUCUGGGGGGAUGCCUAAUCGAGAGGCAACGAGGUCGAUCUUCGGCUAGCUCGGGAUGGAAGGAGGCCCGAUAUGGACAUGUGAGAGCUGGAUCUGGGCGGGGUGCCUUGCUGCGAGAGUCACGAGCGGAUGGAGAGGGCCGUGCGUGGGACAGGCAAGGAAGGAGGGGAUGACAGGGAAGCGGGCGGCCAGGACGAGCACUGGGCCUGUCUUUGGAGGGAGGGGUGAUAAGAUAGCGGGAGUGGCGUGGGAGGGCGGGGGAUGCCGGGCAGACGAUGGCGUUGUUUGUUUGAUGGGUAUAUAUGGGGGGUGAGCGAAAAUGGGAAUCUUAUUUCCCUCUCAGAGCUCGUCUCCAUUUCCGGUACGCGUCCGAAUUGGGGGUGCUCGUCCUCCCAACUCGUCCCAGCCCUCCGCUCCUCUUAACCAGCUCAUGGCCUUUCGUAGAGGCCAGCCCACCCAAUCCAUCCCGUCUCAGCCCAUCCCGCCGCCCUAUCCCAACCAGUACCCCUCCCCCGAUACCCAGCCACCCCCUCUCCACCCCCACCAGUCCAUGCCCUCCGACGUCGCGUCCCCAAACAUGUCCAACAAGCGCUCCCGUCACGAACUCGACCAGCCUGCCGUCCCCAACGAUGACGGUUUCGUACACGACCCCGACGCUGCAGAGUCUGGCCAGGACGACGACGACGAUGAUGACAAGCCCAAGUCGGACAAGAAGGCAGGACGUAGGAAGAUCAAGAUCGAGUUCAUCCAGGACAAGUCCAGACGUCAUAUCACCUUCUCAAAACGAAAGGCGGGCAUCAUGAAGAAGGUUAGUCUCCCCUUUCCUCAUUCCCCAAACCGUCCUCAACGUUGUCCUCGUCGCGCGUCUCCCUUCCCCAGGCGUACGAGCUCUCCACCCUCACCGGGACCCAGGUGCUCCUCCUCGUCGUGUCCGAGACCGGCCUCGUCUACACGUUUACCACCGCCAAGCUCCAGCCCCUCGUCACCCAACCCGAGGGCAAGAACCUCAUCCAGGCAUGUCUCAACGCGCCCCACGGCCAGCUCCCCUCCUCUAUGCCCGUAGGCACUCCCAUCAACCGCACCUCCAUGCCCAUGCAACAUCCCCCCAACGUCCCCGGUGGCCUCGCGAUCGGCUCCGCCCCCAGUGCCAAGGAAGAUGAGACGCAAGAGGAGAGUGAGGAUGCCCCCGCAUCAGGCGACGCUGGUCGCAACCCUCGUAAGCGCCGUCGCGCGUCCUCGUCCGUAAACCAACCCCGCGGUAACAAUUCUCCGGCCGUGUCCGGUUCGUCUGGCGCGCCCCAGGCUGGCGCACCUAGCCAGUCACCGCACGCUCGUCCAGGUCAAAUCCCUCCCGGUGCUCCCCCAAUCACCAUCCCCGGUGUCCCGCCCCCGAUGCCCCUCGAACAACACUCGCCGCGUCAAGGCGCCCAGGCCGUGCCGCCACCCACAAGUCCCAACUACGCUCAGCCAGGGGGUGGCUACCCGCCCGCGCCUGCGAGCGGGGACCCAAACAUGUACGCGCAGCACGGCGGCUACCCUGGCGCGCCUCCGCCUCAGCAAUACACGUCGUUCGGGCACGAAGGCGCGGCACAACAGGGAGUCAACCAGAAUCCAUGGGCGUCAGCACCGGGGGUGCAGCACGGAGGGCAAUAUGCAAGAAGAUGACCUGGACGUAUUUUGCGGUUUUUUUCUCUCCUGGGCAGGAUCACACACGGACCCUGCCGUAUUGGACAAGGCUUGCUCGUGUGGUGUUUCCCGCUUCCUCAUGAUGAUUUCGGUAUGUAGCCCGUUAACGAAGGGUGUGUAUAUGACGUGCUCGUGUUGCUCCUACGUUCUCGAUUACUUCUUGUACGAAUGUUAACAUCCACCCGCCCCCCCUCCGCCGUUUCGAUAUCCUUAACCCACUUCAGCCUUACCCUACCUAUGCAUCACAUCACUCCUCUCUCCCUAGCCACGAUCAUACGAUAUGGUGUCUUCUUGUACCGUCUGAAGUAUGUGAUGUCGUGUCGCGACCAUGUGUCCGAAUGUCUCCCCAACGUUACUGUCCUCAUACUCUAGCCCACUGUGCUUUUGUGUCCUCGUCCGCGAGUUUUAUGGUUAUAUUGAAACGAAACGAAUUGCCGCGAUGUACAUAGUAGUCUCCCCCCCCUUCUCGAAAUUCGAACGUCGACUGAAUUGCGCUUGCGCACACACCGGGACUAGGGACGGCUUCGCGAAGGCGCGGCGAGAUGGAUCGACCUGUUGGUCUCGGGCCUUGGUCCUUGUGGCUGGACAGUGGACCGUGGACGCGAUCGUGGACGGGGGCGGGCGGGUACCUGACUAGAGCCCAAAUGCGAGCGCGGGGUCGAUCGAGAAUCAGAACCGGGCCAGGCUGCCGUCGGCUCGAGCAUAUGGAGUAUAGUCGCGAUGCCUGCCCGUUGCGGGCUCUUACGGGACACGAUCGCGAACGCAUGUAUGUAAGUAAGUAGGUCUCGAUGGGACAAUAGAAUUGACAUGUUUGCGCUUACUACGGUGCUGCCGUCAACCCAGGUACUGUAUGUAAGUAAUAAUGGAGUUGAUCUCCUUCCCCGCGCGCCGGGACCGACAGCAGGCUGAAGCAAUCCGGGGGUGCGAAUUUGUAUUUGUGUUUGGCGUGUACGUAUGUAUAUUGAUUGCUCGGAAGCUUACUUAGAGCUUACUGACAAGCUUAGCCCCAUAUCUGGGAUGGGGGAUUCUGCACCCGCGCACGCCGCACGGUGCGCGAGAUUGCGAGGAGAUGGAGAUGGAAGAUGCAGCGGAGCGCCAUCAAUCUCGCGCCCGGGCGCGGAAGCUUUCGUCGAUUUGCGGACGCGGGCUCGGGCUCUCGGAGGGUCGAUCGACCCGUGGGGGGCCACGGUCGACUCGCUCGGAGUCGGACUUCUCGCGCGCGGGAGCUCGAGUGAAGCUUAGGCUGUUUCAAGCUUCGGAGCCAUGCCUUUUGGAGCCGUCGGGUUCUGGUGCGCGAGUGUUCCAGCGGGGCGGUAGCGCACGUUGUCGCGAGUACGUACGCACUGUGUGUGCGUGUACGUGUACCUGAGGGCUGGAUGGGUGCUGUGUGUCGCACGGCCGGCUCGGAUGUAUGUUCGGAUACGGAGCUCGAGUCGACAUCCACGAGCGAGUGGUGCUGGCCAACACGCGUGCUGUGACGUCGACGGAACCCGGAGCUCGAGUGGACGUCGCCCUAAGCCAGGUCUGAUGACCUAUCGAGAUGCACGGCUGGCAUAUUGGGCGUGGGCGGAUGUCUGGACUCUGGAUGCGACAAACGUACGACAAAAUGGAUCCACACGACAGUUCGCGGCGAACGCGCGAGCCCCGGAUAUCCGAAUGCGAAUGGUCCGAUGGUUCGAUAGAGUAUGUCCGGGGUACGCGGUAUGCAGUGCGUGGGGCCAGUAUGUCUGAAUUCGCGUCGGAACAGAGAUUGCGGUGGGCGAUCCGUGCUCGAUGCUCGACGCGCGAUGGGGCGAUGGGCGAUGGGAGAUGCGGCUGGGAGAUGGCAUCGGGCCACAUUGUUUCCCUCGAGACUCGAACAUGACUUGGGAGGGUAAGAGUGUCCCUGACUUGCCGGAUACGUGACUUCAACGUGGCUCGUCGCCAUGUAUGGUAGGGUGAUCUGGAAACGGUUAUCAUGGACUCGUUUUGGGCAAGGAGAAGGAUCGCGGGUGGAAAACUAGCCAGAACCACAUCCUACAGAGAAUGUCCACAUUCAGUGUAUGUCAUGCGAGUGUCACCCACCGCGGUAUACGUAGUCUCGCAGUAUACGCAGGAUAACUCUGAUGCACACGUACGACAGUAUGCUGCCAGAUGGAAGACGGUGUCACAUACAAAAUGAGGAACAUAGCCUGAAGAUAAUCGUAUUUAGGACAUUCAUGGGCGCCCCGAGCAGCUUACAUUCCUCGACGACGAGCAGAUGGCAACAGUUUACUGUAGUCACUGUACUAGUUGCCAUCGGACUUUACUGUGAAUAUGCCUCAACGAUGUCCUGGGCCGGGGGACAUCGCUAGACACACGUACUGUACAGUGUAUGACUCCGGUUGUUGUCCGGUCGCGCAGACCCCGUGUCCGUCGGGCUGGGUCCUCCAAUACGACGACUCACGAAGCUGUGCAUCCAGCAAUCGAUCUGUGUCUUCUGUUAGGAUAGCGUUGGGUGAGAGUUGGGUGAAGGGACAACAAUCGGCCGAUUGGAACGGAAGCCAAAAAGUUCCGGGAACCCGCAUAUGGCGCUCCUUGUCACGAGAACCGCGAAGGCACCGAACCAUUGUGCACAAUUAGUGUCGGAUGCGCUUGUCAGGACGCUCAUGUUUGCCGGCAGCAAUUGUUCUGCAGCGGGAUAUGGAGGUUAUGGGAAAGUUGGGCACCAGGAACGCUGGACAAAGGUGACUCUUGGUGGUUCGGGCGGCGUACUGUAUCCGGAUGGCACAGGAUUCUCGAUGGCACCAGGCGGCGCAACCCUGUUUCUCGCCUGGCCCUUGUGCAUUUGUGCCAUCCAGAGCUUCUAGUGGGAAAUGGAAUCAGAUACUCGUCAGCGCGGAGGAUACACGUCAGUCGAACAAGGUAUGCUUACAAGAAUGGUGAUACAUGGCACGUCCCGCAACACGGAAAGUUAAAGUUGUGCGAUGUAAUCAGCCAAGAGGAGUAGAAGGUUCGACAUAUCUGGAUGGCGACGAUGAAGUUGGCAGACGUCUUCGAAUUCACAAUGGUGCCACCCAUGAUGCAGGAUAGAUCUAGAGACUUAGGGGCGAUGAUACCGUAUCCACAGUCUAGUCGAAACACGCGCGACAGAAGUUUGCGACCAGAAUGAUCCACUCAAAAUAUUGAGAUCCUUUGUCGCUGGGCGCAUCCUGUCAAAAUUGUGGACAGCGUGAGGGUCACUGGGCCGGGUACGCGUUGAGAACUUACAAGUACUGACCACCAGCCGAGGUUAACAUAGGUUGUGGAUUAGUAGGCGUGAGCCUGGCAGACGAGGUGGAGGAGGAGGAAACAAGCCAAGAAAGCGGCGCUUACGGCCGACGGAGCGGAACGUCAGCGCGCCAGCUGCCGAUCGGCUGGACGUCGUUAUCCCGUUCCCUGCAUACACCCACCGCCAGCGCAGGGACUUCACUGCCAAACGUCCACCUCAGACCUUGACCAGAUCUACGCCCUAUACCCGCCGAUAAUCUACGACGAGAACGAAAGAGAAUGUCUGAUCAAGCCGGCUGCAGGAUCCUCGUAAUCUCGCCCACCGCCGCGCGUGCGCACCAGUUCGUGGAACGUAUGCACCCGUCCCGCCUCGCCCCUCUUGCUCGCGCCCAAUGACCCUCCAGGUGUCCAGGCGCUCUCCCCGUCCCCCAGGCCGAGACAGGGCGAUGACGCAGACGCAGACGCAGACGCAGAUGGAGCAGGAGAAGGAGAAGCCAGCAGCGAUCCCGCGGCGGCGAUCAGCACCAGCGGACAAGAGGAGCAGGAGCAGACAAGCGUGAUGGAUCCGCUCGCUGCGGGGACGACGCGCAUCCCAUGGACGAUCACGAACAGGUACUACACUGCGGACGUCCACUUCGAGGCCCACGCGUUCGAGCACUUUAGGGUCCACCACGCCGUCGGCGUCCCGGCGAUCAUCUAUGUCUGGGGUCCAGGCGAGGUGAGUCUCAGUCAGUCCGUUCUAGAUGCACCCAUCGGAUGUUCACCUCGAGCUUUGCGGACAUCCUUAUAUCCGAUGCGUGUGCUUGUCGCUGCACGAUCGGUUAGGCAUACAGGGAGCAUGUUCCGGAGAUUGCGCAGAAGGUGCAGCAUUACGAUCCUGAGGUGUCCCUUGCGGUGCGGUUCGGGCAGAGCGUAGAAGUCGCAAGUCCGGCGGAGCCAACCGUGGAUGAUGACGGCCUGGACGAGUUCUUGUCAUCGCAUGGGUUUGAGUUUGUAGAAGGAGACAGGUCGUUCAGGAGGCCUACUCAGGAUACAAACAGGCACUCCGACGACGAGGACUCAGGUGCGCACUUCGUUGAUCGCCUUUUGGUCAACGUACAGACCACGUAUCUGAUAACCCGUUACUGACACGCUCAUCUGCCCGCAGGCAUACCUGGGCUUCCUCGUGUGAUCGAUGCUCUCAGCACAAUUAUGUGGCCGUCGAUUGUGCAGUCGGAGGCAACGAAGAAACGAAAGUCUCGCGCUCGGGACCUCAUCGGUUGGGCUCUCGAGGAAGAAGGAGACGAUGGCCUUCGUGCCCUGAUCGCCAACCCCUCCGCCUCUGCUUCCUCCGACCCAACAGAUAGCGUUGCGGCUGCAGCAGCAGCGCGAAAAAGCCGCAUGCAGCGAGAGAUGGAAGAGCUCGAGCGGUGGCUGGGUGAUGAAGAGAGCGCGUCUGGGCUCAAGUAUGGCCGAGGGAAGCCCGAGGGCGAGCGGGCUGAGCGAGCUGUGACCGGGUCAGCGAACGGGGAAGACGAGGAGGCGCGGAUAUGGGUCAUCAGUCCGCCGGUCUCGUCAGCAGAGGGCUGGGAAGACAUGAUGACACCCCCAGCGAUACGCACGCCACGUUCGUCAGACGAGCACUCAGACGACGGCGCGUCCGAACACGGGUUUGAGGACGACUUCGCCGAUUUCGUUUCCGCCUCAUCGCACGCGCAUCCGCACCUCCGGCCCCGUCGCUCGACCGACGAGAAGCUGCUCGAGGUGAACUACGACGUUGGCAGGCUCACGCCGAUGCACACCGGCAUGUCCUACCGCUCGCUCGGGUCCGUGUCUGACUUUGGUGGGGAUGGGGACGAGAGCUUCGGAGCGGGAGGGCACAGCUUCGGCUCUCUGGACAUCAACGACGACGACCCCGACCUCCCGUCGCGCGCGGAGAUCCUCGCAACGUCGCGCAGGCUCUUCGGCGUCUCUGCUCUCUCGCCUGCACCGACCUCCUCCACCCUCUCCGAACUGGAUAUCACUCCAACACGGGAAGCUUCGUUGAAUAUCCAGCCUGCUACAGGCCAGUCGCCACUACAGCCCUUGGCGUCUGCCGACUCGUCCAUGGACGCGGCGCUCGAAUCUGACGAUGCAGACGAGUCGUUUGCGGCCUUCGACCUCUCGCGCGUGUUGAGUGCGCUCCAGGGCAUGAAGGACGAGAUCGCAGGGAUGGAGGACGAGGACGAGCGGAGGCGUGCAGCUGCUCGCGUCGCGCUUGGACUCGUAUAUGGGCUGGGCGCUGGAGGUGACCGGGAGCAUGUAGUUCCUGCCACAGCCGGGGAGAGUAGUGGAGGUGCGUGAGAGGUUUGUCGAUUUUGUGGUCAUCUACGUGGUUGAGUUAAAAUAUCCCUUCGAUCUUGCUGUCGAUCGCUAUCCAACGUGGACAUGGGUGUCGGAUGGAUUUAAAUGCUUGGAAUUUACGACUUUGUCAAUAACAUUGGUUACGUUCUCCACUGCAUUUCAUGCGAGGUGUCCUGUAUGGCAGCACUCCUGAGAGGCUCAAUCGCACCCAUAAGCUUGGGGUCGUUCUGUGGUCAUUCACUUGCUUACUCAACGAGAGCUGGCACGAAAUGGUUGCGACGAGCUUUCCAGCAGUGUACGGAUGAGCACAUUCGCGCCUGAGCGAGUCACCCACUUUUCCUACCGAUCCGCAAUAUGAGUCAUCGGAGGAUACUUACCUUGUCAGGAGUGUUGUACGGUACGUAUGCAGCAUUUGUUGCUUACUCAGCCAGCGGGUUAUAUGUCUGGUCCGAGCCACAAUCAUUCGAAGUUGCGUCACUCGUCUUCGGGAUGGCGACAGCCUAUUCCCAUCCCUCGCUGUGGUUCCCCGGGCCUUCUUACGGAAUAUAAGGGGGUAAAUAUGUCUAAUCCUCGCCUUGGAUGGUGUUAGUAGCGCUGUACAUAGUACAGGGCUAGCUCGGCUAGUCUAUAUCUUCCUGGAGAGCGGAUGACUGAUCCAUCGUAGAGAACCGUUGGGCAUGAUGAUUAGAAAGCAUAACGCCUUGCGGAACCUUUCCCCGGUCCCAACGACAGUAUAAAGCUCGAGGGAACCCGCAGAGUUUGUGUCGCAUCCAACCGACGCUUUCACACCUCCUACAUCCCAGCUCUCUUAGCCUCACAGCUCAACAGUACUCAGUAGCAAUGGCCACCGCUGCAGUCCUCGCACCCCACGAUGUUCCGACCUCCCUCAACUACUAUACCCCGAUCGGCACGAAGGAGCCGUACCAGUACGUGCUCUCCCCGCCCGAGGGCAAGGAGCCCAACAACCUCGGGGUCGAGCCGCACGACGUCACGGUGCACGAUGCGCGGGGCCGCGAGGGCGAGUUCUCGCUCGACAAGAACGGGUUCCAGUUCGUGAAGUACCCCAGCGCGGAGAAGGAGUUCGACGACGACGAGCGCAUCAAGGCCGUGUACUACCCCGAGGUCGAGGCGCUCCUCAAGGAGGUCGCGGGCGCAAAGCGCGUCUUCAUCUUCGACCACACCAUUAGGUGCGUUGCGUCCUUGUUCGGAUGGGAACACGCUCGCUGAUGAGAGAUGUCUCUACAACAGGCGCAAGCCCGACCCGAACGCGGCGCAGGGUCCCUCUAACCGCGGCCCGGUCGUAUGUCCUUUCCUUUUACACCCGCACGCCCACCCCAUACUGACACGAACCCCAGGAGCGCGUACACAUCGACCAGACGUACAACGCCUCGGUCGAGCGCGUCAAGUACCACCUCCCCGAGGACGCCGCGCGGCUGCUGCAGUCGCGCGUGCGCAUCAUCAACGUCUGGCGGCCGAUCCACCACCCGGUCGCGCACAAGCCGCUCGCGGUCUCGGACUGGCGGCGCCUCGACGAGAAGGACCUCGUGUCCGUGCACUUCAUCUACCCGCACCGCACCGGCAGCACGUACUCGGUGCGCUACAACCCCGCGCACGAGUGGUGGCACCUCGCGGGCCAGACCCCCGACGAGGUCACGCUCAUCAAGUGCUACGACUCCGAGGCGGACAGGGCGCGCCUCACGCCGCACUCAGCGUUCGCGGACGCGAGCAGCCCCGUCGAGGCGCCGCAUAGGGAGUCGAUCGAGGUCCGCGCGUUGGUGUUUGACUCGGAGUAGAUCUGUACGGCCCCCGGCCAUUGUGUAGUAACUUGGAUGUGUUUGUAGAAGUACCUUGUACGGAUUUGCAGUAUGCAUGGAAUCGGAUAGCUUGGUAUUGCUCUUAGUCGUGGUUGCUUUACCCGUUCGUCUUCGUGGAGAUCAAGCAAUACACAGAAUGCUACAAUUGCUGGUCGACUUCCUGUCUAAUCAAUACAACACAACCAUAAGAAUAAGCGAACCACAGGAAUACUGCCACCUCUGGGUCGCACUCAUGCAGCGACAGCCUGCUCCGGGGCCGCAUUGUCGAGACCGUUGGCGUACUGGAACUCGCCAGAGUUCUCAUACUGGGAAGAGCAACGUUAACUUCUCUUCCAGCCAACGACAUAAGGCACCAAGGGGACAUACCUCCCACAUGUCGAUCGCAACCUGACAACUCUCCCGGACUACGCGUGGAGCAUCUGGCCGCUUCAUCCACUCCUUGAGGUGAGGUAGGACCUCCGGCGUCGCGAUGCCGCCGAGGGCUUCCGCAGCCUCAUGGCGGACCAUGUCGGACUCAUGGGUAUCCUCGAGCACCUUGAGCAGAGCAGGGACAGAGUGGGUAGAGAGCAGCUGGCCAAACACAAACGCAAUCUCGUGCCUGCGAGCCUGCGGUCAGCUUGGACGGACGAUGGAGAAAGAAUAGGGAGACACGUGCUUGAACAGAGCACUGUCGUCGCCGAAGCCAGACGCAAGCGCGUCCACGGCGGCGGGGGUGCCGAUAUUCCGCAGAGCGAACAUCGCGCGGUAUCUCUCGAACAGAGGGAGGUUCUUGUCGUUCAGGGUAUUCCGGAGCUUGAGAAUGUUCUCCUCGGACGCGUCCGCGGGUGCAGCCUUGCCCGCGAGGAGACCGGAGGUUGGGGGUGCGGGGUCGAUCGAGGUAUAGGACCUGCCACAAGAUACCACAAGAUACCACGAUACCACGACUACUUAUGAACACUAAAUACGAAGGAGAGGAUAUCUGGACAUACUGCUCAGCGGUCUUCGCUGUAGUUGACCAGUGUUUCUCUCCCUCUGCGGAGUGGUCCCACUCGAUCUUCGCGAGCGCGAUCUCGCAUGUCUCGCGCACGCAGCGCUCGGGGUCGUUCAUGUAACGUUUGAGCAUGUCUUUUGACGAGGUCGCGGAGAUGGCACCGAGGGCUUCAGCAGCCUGUAGGAGAUGACUAAAUCUUCGGGACUCGGGCAUAACAAGAAGUAGACUCACAGACCUCGUGCCGGACCAUCGGAUCCUCCUUCUCGUCGGCAAGGACGGACUCCAGUACGGGAAGCGCGGAAGUGUUCUUCAUCUGCCCUAGACAGUAGGCCAGCUCGUGCUUGAGCAGUGCGCUCUCAUCCGCGAAGCCUGGUGGUUCAACGUAGAGUUUAGUCGAAAGCACCCUCGGAGGACCACCGCGUAUGUGUACUCACCCCUCGAGAUGAUCUUCACCGCAUCAUCGGUUUUGAGCGCCUUGAGCGUGAACAGGGCCCUGAACCUGUUAUGUAGCGGUACGUUGCCCGUGGUGUUGAGCAGGGCGGCCUCGAGGGCGGACAGAGUGCCGGGGUCGAUUUCAGCCACCAUGGUGAGGGAGAAAACAGAGAUUCGAGAUUAGAUUACCCUCCAACAGCCAGGGAUCGAGGCCAUAAAUUUUGGAGAUAAGAUCAAGAUUUACUAGACGCCCACUCUCAAGUCCCGAUCAACCUUCCCCCGUCCUGAAUCCUUCCUCACGCGGGCAAUACCUCUCCAUCUCAGCUUGCCUGUACCAUUCCCUGUACUUUAGAUACCCUUCUACCUGCUGCCUAAUUCCCUCCUGAAAUGCCGAAGUCAAAACGCGCCAAAGUUGGUAAGGUCGACCGCAAGUUCGCGUGAACGAACGGGAACUGACCUUAGAUUCAGUCUCGUUGACCAAGGUCGCAAAGAAGACGAGGGAGAAUAAAAACGCACUACUCGCAGAGGCACGCAUCCUUCUAUCAUCUCUCCGAUGUGCGAAGCUAAUAGUUUCAGGUGCAAGAAAAUGCCGAUAAAUGGCAAUACUGCUGGUUGUUCGAGGUGGGGAACAUGCGGAAUUCCCACCUGAAGAUAGUCCGAAAACUAUGGAAAGAGUACGUCUUUCUACUCCCCUCCUCCUCGUCCCCUCUUCCCUAUCCUUUAUAUCCCCACAUCCUCAAACCCGCAUCCCCUCCCAGCACUGCACGACUAUUCUUCGGCCGCGGCGCCGUCAUGGCCAAGGCCCUCGGCACGACCCCCGAAGAAGAGCACCGCCCGGGCCUGCACGCCCUCGCCUCGCAAAUCAAGGGCCAAGUCGGGCUCUUCUUCACCAACUCACCCCCAGAGGAGGUCCUCGAGUGGUUCGCCGACUUCCAGCAGCCCGACUUCGCGCGCACGGGCAACCGCGCGGCGCGCACCGUCGUGCUCCCCGCGGGCCCCGUGAUGCAGCAGCACGCGCAGCCGCCCGAGCCGUUCCCGCACAACGAGGAGCCGCAGCUGCGGCGGCUCGGCCUGCGCACGCGCAUGGAGCGCGGCGUGCCGACCCUAGACCAGCCGCACACCGUGUGCGAGAAGGGCAAGGCGCUCACGCCCGAGCAGACGCAGCUCCUGAAGCUCAUCGGGGUCAAGAUGGUCACGUUCAAGGUCGGGCUAAGGGCACGGUGGGACGCGGAGACGGCGCAGGUCACGCAGAUUGAGGGGCAGGCGAUCGGGGACGAGGACGUAGGUGGGGAGGAGGAGGAUGAGGACGUGAUGAGCGAGUGAUUGUACGGUUUCCUUUGCGUUUUUCGAUUUGCUAUCACGUCUACAGUUAUAUCACGCGCAUAUACAGGCCCGUUUGGCAUCCAGCAUCCAGCAUACAAGUACAAGAUACAAGGGGGACGACAUAGGUUGCUUUCUCUUCUCCGCUCCCUCACUCCUCGUCAAACAACAACGCCCUCAGCUCAAUGCUCUGCCUAUGCGGUGCCCCCUCCGGCGUCGCACUAUCCCAGAACGCCGAGUGCGGCGUGAGCCUUGCGCGGUCCGUCUCCGAGUCGUAGCACUUGAUGAGCGUGACCUCGCCCGGCGUCUGGUGCGCGAGGUACCACCAGCGGUGCGCGGGGCUGUACCGCACACUGAACGUCGCGCCCGUGCGGUCCGGGUAGUAGUACUGCACCGGCACGAGGUCGCGCGCGUCGAGCGUGCGCCAGUCCGAGACCGCGAGCGGCCGGUGGAACACCGGGUGCGCGAUCGGCCGCCAGACGUUGAUCAGGCGGACGCGCGACUGCAGCAGGCGCGGUGCGUCCGCCCCGAGCAGCUGGUGCACGCGCUUGAUCGUCGCUUCGUACGUCUGGUCGAUGUGCACGCGUUCCUGUGCGCAUCGCGGGGGAGUCGGUCAGUGGUCGAGAGUUACGAUGGGAGGACGCUCACGACGGGGCCGCGCCCGACGUUUCGUGGCACUGUCAUGUCCUUGUCCUUGUGGCGCCUGCAAGUAAGCAUCCCGUGGGCCGUGGUGAGCUUUCUGUAAACACCUCAUGCGCGCCCGAGGACGGACCGGAUGGUAUGGUCGAAGAUGGCGACCCUCUUCGCCCCAGUGACGCUCUUCAGCAACUCCUCCGUCUCCUUGUAGUACACGCCCCUGAUGCGCUCCUCGUCGACGAACUCGGUCUCGGCGCUCGCGUGCGUUAGGAACUGGAAGCCGUGCACGUCGAGCGAGAACUCGGCCUCGCGGCCCCGCGCGUCGUGCACGACGACCUGGUGCGGGUCCUCGCCGAGGUUGUGCUCCAGUCGCCCGGCGGGUGGGGCGAGGUAGAUAUAGCGGUACGCUUCCUCGGAGGGGUCGCCGAGCGGCUUGUAGUAGUUGAGCGUCGUGGAGACGUCGUGCGGGGCGGGGAGGACGGUUGCGGUCAUGGUGUACUACGUAGAAGAGUGCGAACGAGAGGUGAUAGCAAGUUUCGUGUGCGAUCUUUGGCUCCCAGAUAUGUCCGUUCGUGAGACUGACAACUACGGGCCAGGGUGGCGGGACUUGUCAGUACUUAUACUUGCAGCCAUCCAGAGAGUUGGCACUUGCCUCUGUCAGCAGCAGAUAAUUUAGGGCCUUGGUGGGUAGAAGAAAGUCGCUGACUCUUACUUUGUCAUGCUAUUAGUAGCAGAGACCUAGGGGAGAAGCAAGGCCGACCUUUCGUCAUGUGGAUGAGGGUUUGCGCAAUCGUUCUCAUGGAUUGCAUUCGCAAACUAUACCUGUAGUCGGGGGUCACAUGGGUGAGGCUAGCUCACAGGACAUACCUGCAGGUAAGAGAAAUGAUUAUGCACGGAUGUGAUACCACGCCCACUUACACCUGCAGCUGUUUGUCGACGAAGUGGCCACGGAAGGUCAGACAGGUAAGACAAAGAGUUUCGAAGAUAGUCAGCUGCCUGGUCGAAAAGGCGGAACAACCUACCCGAUCUAAACCUAUCUGCUUGACAUAAAGUUGAGAAACGGUGAGUAUACACAUUCUUUCGGAGUUUGUAUUUCAUCGAACAAGGCGAAGGCGGAUCCGGAGACGACUUAGACUCGCCAUCGCGCAACGAUCGCGAGGCACGUCGCCCCAAGCCGUUAGGCCACAGGGUUGGCACCGAAAAGAAUGAGCCAUGGAUACACGUCUAAGCGCGUACUGUACCAGAGCUUUCGGCUCCCCAUGUUGAAUUCAUUCAGUCGGAGGUGAUAUGGCGGCUACGCUCGCGUUCAAGGUUGACGAGUCGGAAGGCUUAGGCCAUCGGUUGAAUGGCACAUGGGGGGUAGGAAGAUGACUCAAUGUGUGAGCAUGGAACAAGCUAGAAAGACCAUGCAGCGAGUAGCUUGGAAUUCCAGACUUGAAAGGAGCCCGGGUCGGGGACGACACCUUCAACUUGCCGCGACUGCGCCGAAAGCUACAGAAAGUGUGACUGGAAUAUAAGCGGUGCGUGACGGAACGUGACGAGACGCGUCGAUGAUCGUGCCACACGCGUCAAGACAGGCGCCUUCGACCUCGUCCUCCGCUCCUCUCGCAGCGACUCGCCUCCGGCAAUUGAUCGUUCUUCAGCCCUCCCUCUGUUCGGCCCGUGGGCGGAGGCGAAUUCGGAAGGCUAUUUGGCUGUAAGAAGCGCCCCUGCAUGGAACACGUCUUGCGCCAGGACCCCGACUCGUCCUGAUCACCCUCCCGCCCCGGCGAACUCGACCAUGGCUAAUUCAGAUAAGCCCGGAGUUAGCUGUUCCGUAGAGUUCAGAGUUCAAUAUAGAUCGAACAGUGAGCACAAUCUUGACGAUAAGCUUGCUGACAUGCCAUUUCACUGUCGUGCUCCGCGUGAUAUCGCAGAGUUUGUGUCAUCUGUGCCUUCCACCCAAGAAAGAGACGGACAGGCGUUGAAUCUGAACCUUCGACUCCACAUGCACACCUACGGAUCAUGCCCUCAUUCAUGAUCUGCGUAGCCUAAGCUUCCGCCCUGGAUCCUUCGUCUCUCCGUCUAGCCCGCUAGAAGCCGUUGCAAGGAGAGCAAUUGGCCGAUCCAGUCCGGCUUGGUAGGCUUCUGAGCAUGCAUAUAUAGUCCGUAUGCAUCUCAGGGAAACGUGCAUACAUUCCGGUCGCGGACGGAGAGACGGCACUUCGAUUUCUGCUGCAUUCGCUUCCGAGUAAGAAAGGGCCGAUGGUUGGAAGUUUCGCGAUGGACCAACCUUCUUGCUCCAUCUCCUCGUAUUCCUCGAUCGUCCUCAUUACCCUCAUCUACGAGCGGUCCAUGCUCGUCGUGCCCUCUCCCCCCGUCUUCCGUUCCCCCGAGCGUCGCGAUACCCUCGAGCGCAUCUAGCAGCUCGUCGACGAACCAUGGCCUCCCCCGCCGCUCUAACGUCUGUCGUGUCCGCUCGUUCCAGACGUCGUACUCGCUAACCCUUCCUUUUCUCAGAUACGGUCCAAUCUUCGUCGGCGUCAUUUUCAACGUCCUCCUCUACGGCAUCAUGAUCACCCAAACAUAUCUAUACUUCAACGUUUACAAGAAGUACGCCUUCCGUCGUCGCCUUUGUCGACUCUUCCUUUACUAACCAUCUCUAGGGACCGACUGUGGAUGAAGCUUUUCGUAAGCAUUCUGGCACCAUAUUCUUACUCUUUGUAGUCUGCUCACUCGCAGUCGCGUCCAAGGUCGGUCUGCUCUUCUUAUGCGAUACCCUCAACACCGUGUUCGACAUCGCGUUUCUCUACGGCCCUUUGGUCACCAAUUUCGGUUCGUACAACGCCGCAACGAUGUCGAAUCACGCUGAUAUCCUCGAAACCAGGCAAUGAAUCGUCACUCAUGUACGCUUCUUGGGGUGGGUCUACCCGUUCGUGGAGGAAAUGUCUCACAGCCGCUGAUUCGUCUCCCAGUAUUCGCGACUGGUUCGUCGUCCUCAGUGGAACAUCAUAUAUCAUGAUCGACACCAUUGAUCCUUUCUCACCUUCCCCAUUGCUCGUAGACCCUGCGAUGACGGUGAGCCUUUGGCUGGUUUUUGUUGCGGGAGUUGGAUCUAAUCUAUAACCAGGCACUUAUCGGAAGCCUUGUGCAAUGUUUCUUUGCCUGGCGGGUGAAGGUCCUGACCAAUAGCUUGCCCGCCGUGUUUUUCAUAGCUACCUGUGCUAUCGUCCAGUUCUGUAAGUCAUCGAUGAUGCAGACUCCGCCAUACUAAAAGUCGUUCUAGGCGGUGGCUUGGGAACUUCCAUUGCCGUUGGCAUGAUCCCGGAGUUUAUUCACUUCCAGAAAUUUGAAGUUAUUGUCAUCAUCUGGCUCGCCUUCUCCGCAGUUGCCGAUUGCGCGAUUACUGUCGCCCUCGUUUGGCAUCUUGUAUGUGUUUUUGAGCCUCUUGAACGGGGUCUUACCUUACGAAUGGACAUCAGCGUAAGCACAAGACCGGAUUUGUUGCCACGGACGACAUCGUCAACCGGAUUAUUCGACGUAUGUCAUUGUACCCAUCAUCCUUCCUCACUAGCUGAUCUCUAGUGUACUUUAGUAACGGUUCAGACUGGCCUUAUCACCGCUCUAUGCGCCCUAGUGGACUUGAUUUUAUUCCUGGUUACAGUCAGUCCUCUUUUUGGUUCCGUGCGUUUACUGCUUAAUAUUCUUCAACAGCCAGCCGGCCUUCACCUCCUAUUCAAUCUUCCUCUGUCCAAGCUUUACACCAACUCUCUCAUGUCCAGUCUGAACUCUCGGUCUGGAUGGAGGUAUGGCAGUGGGAACGGGGAAUCUACUUCAGACGAUGUGAAUCGCACCGAUCACGGUCGUCAUAUGAAUGUCCGAAGCGAGACUGGGAGACGUGUCAGCAUGAUGGUAUGUGCGGGACGCGUGCCCGCUGUAUUGUGUCUGAAUUUUGCUUGAAUAGCCCCCGAAUCAAGUCUACAUCGACGUCGAAUCGCACGAGAUGGUCGACGUGCUUGACGCCAAAAUGCUUCCGGCGAGCGCAGCCAUCGCGAGCAUGCCAACCAAGCAAUAUAACGAGAAAGCGGGGAAGCUGACUCCUCACAGUGGCUCUGAUUCCUUCUGAACGAAACUGCAUUCGCAGACGAAUCAUGGUGGUAUACGCACCUGUAUCCUUAGCCGUACGUACGUUCUCUCUUUACUACUUUGCGCUACCUUGUUUUCACGUUGGGCGCGUCGUUGUAUUCUGAUGUAGCAAUUAUCUGUAUUUGACUCUAUCAAUUGUGAUGCCACUCCGAUACCCGUUGCCCUUUAUCCAACACGGUGUGCUCGGGCAGAACUAAGGUCAUUUGCAAUCGGCAACGCCUUCGCUGUACGGUCAGCAUGCGCCCGUUUCUACAUCUCCCUACAAGGCGAGCGUCCAUCGUUCUCUUCAAUCUCGUCUCAUGCCUAUACUUACCAUGGUCUUCGAGGACAAGAAACCCACUGGCAGGCUCUUGCAAGUUGCGAAUGAUAAACGAGGGCCUAGAGACUUUGUUGAUGCCCCACAUCAGCGGCAGUGCAAGGGACCAAAUUGGUCGUUGCUGGCACUAACUGGGCUAAGUAUUUGCCGUCGCCGUUGAACCCUUUUCUCGCGAUCGACCACUCUGCAUCCCUCGGGUAUGGGCUUCUAAACUCCAGCAGUUUUACAAACGGUAACGUGGUCAAUCUUCUUUGACGUUGCAAUCUUUCAUCUUCAAUUUCUCAAGUGUGAUGCUGCUCACGGUACCUUCCAGAUGGUCGGCUAACUUUUCCGUACGCCGGCCGUGGUCCACUAGAAUAGGUUUGGGCUCGUGCAAUUAGGAAAUAAGUUCUUAUCUUGACAGAACGCGGGGUCGUCUGCUAUGCCAACCCCUAUCCGUUUGGAGUGUAGCGUGCAUCGAUCGCACCUUCCUGUUUAUUUUUCCUCGGAAACAUAGGUAAGUAAGUAUGGGGUCGAUGCGGAUCCUUACACUUGGCCGCCGGGAUUCCGAUAUUGGUCUUGGGCCUGGAGAGGCAUCACGUGGAUUACGCCAGCGGGGAGCACUUGUGUGGGAGUGUCCAGACUCCAGCGUGGAACUCGGCGGGCUUCGCGGUGCGAUGACGUUCGAUUUCCAUCUCUCGCCGCUACGUAUACUGAUUUCUGUUUCUUUGCGCGUCGGCUAGGUGACGCCAGCAGAGUGCUUGGCGCGGGGCUCGACCUGCUCUCAACUUCACCAGGAGCACGCAUGCUAUGGCAGUUCAUAGCGAUGUGACAUUUGAUCCCUCAAGCCGGAGCAAAGCGAUGAGCCUGCCAAACCCUCUCCACAUCUGAGCAUGGGUUGGGCGCCCGACAGGCCCUAGACCUAGCCGCGGCAAUCGCGGUUGCCGUGGAGCUUCCUAGUAUCCUAACGAAAGCUGUCAAGGUCAAGGUCCCCGAGCGGCAAGUACAGUAUGUAAGCGCUAGCGACAGCGAAUGAUGCACCCCCCCGGUGUCAGCUACUCGCCGCAUGGGUUGGUGACUUUUCUAUCCGUGAACCCCGUUCUCGGUUUACCGAUUCAGGACCUCCCGCUUAUUGGCACAUAUGCAUACAUCCUUCGUUGACUUUAGGCACGCCAAUAACCUUGCGUCACGACGGAGAACGACGGAUGAACCCAGUCCAGGAGGACUUCUCUGCGCGAUCAGACUUUCUCUUGGCGUCCGGACGGACAUAAGGUUUUGCCGCCGGGGAAGCUAAUAUUUUGCGCGGCAACAUCCAGAGAGGUACGUGCAAGGACUGUAUACACGACCAUUGGCACGGGGGUGCAAACUUACUUACGGUAACUAUCAGGUUCUACGCCGAGAUCGGGUCUGAUCGAGUCCAUCCGCGGGCGUGUGAAGGUGUAUGUGACUUCCAGCGGGCAAAUACAGGCCCCAAACUGAAUGUUGGACGGGCGGCCUGAUGGAAAACCUGGCAGCUUUUGGCAGGUGGAUGGUGCGCAGGGGUACUUACUUAGUUACGAUUGGAUCCACAACCCUGGUCGGCUGCUAGUGAGAACGACAACGAGUUCUCGUUACGUGACGCGCGCAUUUGAAGACACGAUCGCGCACGCCGUGCGGGAUGAAGGUUUCUGCCGGCAGGUUGGGGUUCCUUAGAUCCGCAACAUCGGCGGCAAGCGAGCGGGGUCCUCGUCGGGCUCCCCCCCUCGAGAGGGUCGGGCUCGGGAUAUAACAUCCCCGGAUAUGGCAACGCGACCCUCGAGCCUCGCCCUCCCCCGUCCCUCCUCCUCGUUUAUUAUCCUUCGUUCGUCCCUCGCGCCCAUCUUGGGCGAGAGCGCGAUCCUGGCAGUCACCCUUCUUCAAUCGACCUCUGUGCUAUAGUUCACCCCCGCGCCGUUUCACAGGAUGCCUUCGGCCGCGCAACAGGUGUGAGUGCUCAUUAAUAACGUUAUGCACGUCGCGCCUCGCGUAUCAGUAUCUUUAACUGACUGCCCCCCCCCCUCUCUCUCUCUCUCGCUUCGCACACCGCCAGCUAUGGCCCCAUCUUCAUCGGCUUGGUGUUCAACAUCCUGCUGUAUGGGAUGAUGGUCACACAGACGUACCUGUACUUCAACAUAUAUAGCCGGUGAGUUUGUCGUUUGGCGCCCGUCCUGCAGGGGGCAUGUCCUGACCGAGCGGAGGGGGUCCAGUGACCGUUUAUGGAUAAAGCUGCUCGUAAGUGCAUGCGCUUCUACGCAUCGCUGGUUGCUGGGUUUGGGGGCAGGGGUCUCACUAGUUGGUGUCAAGGUGGCCGGGUUGUUUGUAUGCGAUACUCUCAAUACGGGCUUCGACAUCGCGUUUGUGUACGAUCCGCUCGUAAACCGCUUCGGUGAGUAGUGGUGUUUGACGACUAUGGUUCGGGCGACGAACUGAGUGAAGUGUACCUAGGGGAUGACAGCGCAGUCACCAGGGCUACCUGGGGUAAGUUCGCAACGGCUUGCUUGUAGAUGGAAGCCUCGCUAAUGGUCUCACGUGCGUAGUGUUUGCGACGGGUAUGUUGGCAUAUCGUGAGAUGUUCUGUUGUAUGCGCUGAACGCAAUCUGCCCGCUGCGCCACAUAGACCCAGCGAUGACGGUGAGACGGUUUUGAACCUCUGCGUGUGAUCGCGACCUCGAUGGCUGAGACAUAUUAUAUUUCUGUAGGCCAUCAUCGCCGUGCUCACGCAGAUGUUCUUCGCAUGGCGUGUAAAGGUCUUGACAGGGAACUACUUCGCGGUCGGCAGCAUCGUGUUCUCUGCUAUUGCCCAGCUAUGUACGUCCAACUCUUUCCUCAAUGACCAACAAUGGAUCGCCGGCUGACCAGACUCACGUUUCGCAGGCGGUGGGCUGGGCACAUCCAUCGCGGUGGGGAUGAUCCCAGAGUUUGAACAGUUCACGCGGUUCAAAGUCAUCGUCAUCAUCUGGCUUGCGUUCUCCGCGGUCGCCGACGUUCUGAUCACGGCGUCGCUUGUUUGGCACUUGGUACGUCCCGGAAGUGUGGGGAUUGGCUAGGGUUCCGUUGCCCUUGAUGUGCUCGGCGCUGACACGCUCCGUCCGGUUCGCACAGCGGAAAAACAAGACUGGGAUGACGGUUACGGAUCACCUAAUCGACAGAAUUAUUCGCUGUGAGUUUCUUGGAACCAUCUAUACUGAUUUGGAAGGAGGUCGUUGCUAAUGUGCCUGUCUUCUCUUCUCUUCUCUUCUUUUCUCACCAACGUAGUGACCGUCCAAACCGGUCUGUUGACCGCCGUCUGUGCUGUCGUUGACCUUAUCCUCUUCUUGCUCAUUGUAAGUGUGCUCUUCUGUUCUGGAUGUCGGCACGUUGCCUGUUCCCUCGACAUGCCGUUUCUGACGCUGUUUCCUUCGCGCAAUCUUCUAGCCUUCCGGAUGGCAUCUUCUAUUCAACUUGCCAUUGUCGAAGCUCUACACGAAUUCGCUUCUAUCAAGCUUAAACUCGCGGCGCGGUUGGAAGUAUGAUACCAGCGACGUGGUCAGCGCUUCGCACCACCCGGACAUGCCUGGGAGCGGGCAGAGGGGCAGGAAGAACGUCCAAGUCAAUGUCCUCCGCAGUGAUGUCGGAAGACGGGUGAGUUUGUCCGCCGUUCGACCUUCUCCUCCCCCACUACCUGCUCCUCCGUCCUAUUGGUUCGAGUUCGUGCGCUUUCAUGUGCUGACAUAUGGGGUUGAUGCAGACUGGGCCGCAGCAGAUCUAUAUCGACGUCGAAUCCCACGAGAUGGUUGACGUCACGGAUUCGAAAACAAAUCAUUAUCCAAGCCCGAGCUCGUUCCUUCCGGACACGAAGAUGACGGGCAUCGCGGAGGGGCCUAUGUCGGACUCGCAGGACUCAGGGCUAAGUGUGUGAGGGGUUGUAUCUACAUUACGUUGUCGUACGUCCAUCCUUUGAAUUACUUUCAUUUUGCACCAGGUAGAUUUUCUUAGCUACAUAGAUUGGAUGGACUCUUUGUCGGUGCUCGCCAUUUCGCUCGUUUUUCUUGAAAACUUGGACCCACUCGCGUUGAGUGGGGAGCUAAAGUUAUUGUAUUUUUAUUCUUCAUCCUUCGUCCGUAAUAGCUGUAGUGGUUCACAGUUGUAGUAGCCCCGACCUUGCCUCGCCGCUGGUCUCGAUGUCGAUUUACUGGAUGCUGGGCUUGUCCCAGCCCCCCUCCUCCCUGACUUCUGCCCGCUUUAAGCUGACCGUCAUGCAAGCAACUCGUGUGCACCGCCACCGCCUGUGAGGUCGGCGCCGGAAGGGCGUCCUUGGAUUUUGCAAUUGAGCAGAGUAUUCGCAAUGUUCGUUGAUGCCGAGUGCCAUGCCUCUGCCCUUCCAGCAGCUGCUUCGCUGGCACUGUAAGUACUCCACCGCACCUUCCUGAGCUUUGAGCCAUCGACAGCGAAUUUCUGACCAGACAGAGCACGGCGUUGACAGGUCAACAAGAUGGUAACGUUGCUCGCGUUUACCCUCGUCCCAGCGUUGUUUGUUGCACACGUCGCUUCGGCCUCGCACGUCGACCGUGCAAUUAAUCCAGCGGAUGACCCGAACAGGGUUCCCAGUCCGCCAAUCCUCCAGCCAAACCGUGAGAUUGAAUGGCAGUCUUUCGAAGUUCAGACUGUGAUUUGGUGAGGAUCGGGCGUUACAUGGUUCUGCGGUUGAAUUGACACCGAAAUGAAAACUCACGGAUGGUCGUGAACAGGGACAAUACUGGCCUCAACGUGACCGGGCUGAACGGGACGCUCCUGCUGGGUUAUGUGCGUCCGGACACGACUAGAUUCGUGUACAAAGGUACGCGACCGAUCUGGCCGCGGAUGGCGAGAAGUACCUGUACAGUAGUAGCAUUGCUCACGCGCACAACCCCCUAUUUCCGCACAGACCAGCCGAUCGCCCAGAACUUCCCGCUGGCAGACGGGGCGGUCAACGUCAUCCCCCCGGAUGUGCCCACAAGCAGUCGCUACUUUCUUAUCCGUACGCCGUCUCGCACGUGAAUUCUCCGGCCCCCUUCGCCCGCUCACCGUCAGGGUCCUCCCCCCCGCUUUUAACAUUACAGUGCUCGGCGACAUGAACAACACGACCCCCAUGUUCAGCAUCGCGGGCACGGACCAGAACGACCCCACGAACAGCGCCCCGCUGUCAAGCCUCCCGCCGCAAACAAUCGCAACGCGCUCUGCGACGAUCACGCGCACGGACAUCGUCUCGACGGUCGGGGGAGCCUCAACCUCAAGCACCAGUACCCCUAUUGGUAGCAUAACCUCUGCACAACCUUCUGGGACUGGUGCACCGAACAGCGCUGUGGCGAGUGGCGUGAACACGUUCCUCUGUGCAGUAGGAGCACUUGUGGCACAUCUCCUCGUGUUUUAGCUACUCUUGUCUUUGUCGUGAAAAUUAAGUUCACGGGUUAUUGUCCUCGUGUUGUUGUUCCAUCUCUUGUGGCUUACACAGUCAGGGCCAGGAAACGGUAAAAUAGGGCUUCAUGGGCGGUCUGAGGUAGGAAAUAAAAAAAUGCGUUCACACGCCAUGCAUUAAGGGGGAAUCGAACCCCCGGCGGGUCGAUGGCAACGACCCAGGUUACCACUACCCCAUUAAUGCAUUGCGUUUAAUGACCCUGCCAUCCAUCAGAGUGAAAGUGAGCGAGCGUAGUGCACAAAUGUUCCCGGCGGCUCGCAGCGGCAGUGCCAAACUUAUUCCCUGGUCCGUGCGCCGUGAGGGCCGGUAUAUAACCCACGCUCAGACAUCGUUGAUUCCUUACCACUCUGGCCUUUUGGCUUAGAUCAAGUGUAGUAUCUGUUCUUAAUAGUUUAACCACUAUUAUGGAGGCACCGCCUCCAUUAUUGGUUAUCUAAUUUUUGCCGCCCUUGUCCUUCGAGCUCUGCUUGCAACUCGGGGGCGCGAUGACCUUGCCACUGCACUGCCGGCUUGCGUCGUCGGGGGAUCUCCCUUUUUCUUUUUGGGGCACCUUUGAAACUGGUCAGUUGACCAGGAGC
RNAcentral lists this long non-coding RNA (69467 nucleotides) under Ganoderma lucidum. RNAcentral's name for it is "long non-coding RNA (GLUC_LNC000035)". The stretch from base 69229 to 69417 matches the Rfam family "U2 spliceosomal RNA". Lineage: Eukaryota; Fungi; Basidiomycota; Agaricomycetes; Polyporales; Polyporaceae. The record is from RNAcentral.